AACCCUCAUGUCGGCAAACAUGAUUUUUCAGUGUCUGUAUAUUGGACUCAUACUUUCAUGUUUAGUUAUCACAACCCGCUAUUAUUGCCUAAUUAAAACCAUUAGCACACAAUAAAACCACCAAUUCCAUAUAUUAUUAUCCAAGGCUAUAAGAAGUGGCAUUGUCAUACCGACUAUAGCUUGUAAGGAAUUUUACUAGCCAAACCUUAGGGGAUUCCCAUGUACCCCACAUUAUUUCUAGUUAAAUAAAUAGUGGCUACCAAGACCUUACCAAGUCAUUUAAAACCAUUUAAACCAUUUAGGGUUCCAUUACUAAGUUAUGCAAAGCAAUAGUUUCAAUAAAAGUCAUACCAUAUGACAAAAUCAUUCUCAUAGGCAUUUUAAUAAACAUGUUUAGUACAUAUAUGUUCAAAAAAAAAAAACAAGUGACAAUUGACCAUUCCCAUACAACCACAUUUGCAAACCACCAUUAUAAUAUGUAAAACCAUAGAUAAAACAUGGGAAAAUAAUAUUUAUCCAUCAACAACCAAAACCCCCAACAUAUAAUUCAAAACCAAAUAAUGCCCAUAAUUGAAUCAUGAAAACCAUUCAUUAAAACAUGAAUUUAGUUGAACUAACAAUAAGGGAGGAGUAACAUGCUUAGAUACUGAAGAGGUACAGAGAGAAAUCACCUUGAAAGCCCCAUUUGAUAUGCUUGAUAAAAAUCCUAAGUAUUCUUGACGUUGAUGAUUUGGGAGUGUUUGAAAGUAUAUUUGAUGGGUUUUUUAUAGCUAAUGAUGCCCUACGAAAGUUAUAAGAUGUGGGUUUUAAGUUGGGCAACAGAGGAAAUGUCCAGAAUACCCUCAUCUUAAAAGCUAAAAAUUGUGCGUAGGAUGGUACUAUCACACCAUUCCAAAUCGUACCCACAACAUACAAGUGGUACCCACCACUCGUACCCUAUCCAGAAUAUUGGAAAUAACACACUGUCCACCAUACUACUUUCCUUGCUCAAGUCGUACCCAUACCAUACAAGUAGUACCCUCAAACCGUAUCCAAGAUAGAAUCUAAGGGGUUGACACUAGGCAACAUAUAAAUUGGACUAUACCACUCGUACCAUAUCAAUACAACCCUUAUAAUGUUUAUUCUUACCUUGGAAAGAAACCAACCAAAACCACAUUGAGUAACAUAUGACUAAGAUACCCUAGACCAUACCCACAUCAUACGACAAGUACCUCAAGCCGUAUGAUGUCCAAAAACUCAAAACUCUAGAAAUUUCUAAGGACCAGAACCUAGGGUGUUUCAAGUUAGACCUUAAAUCACCAUUUUCUCACUCACAGUAAGGAUGUUAGAUGAAGUGACCUAUUCUUUAGGAAGGUCGCCAUCAAACAUCUUUUCAUCUAUAACAUGGAUCUUUAGGAUAUUUGAGGAAAUAGACUUCUCAGGACUUUGUUCUUGAGAUGGAGAGACUUAGGGAGCUGGUUGUAUAGAUGAUUCUAGGUUAGUUUGAAUUCAAUUUCAAUAGGAGUAGAAAUAACUAGAGCGGGAUUGUUUGAGUUAUCCUUCGCUUCAUAUGAAGAUAGUAGCACAUUUUUAUCCUUCUUAGGAGGUGAGAGACUUACUUUACUUUAGGAGGAGUAAAUUUUACAAUGGCAAAAGGGUUUUGUAUAUCUAAAUUAAUAAGAGAAGAUAGAGGAUACAUAGAUGAGAUAGGGGUUGGUUCAGUUGGAGAUGAUGGAGAUGAUAAUGGGUUAGAUAUUUUAAUUUAUUUAUUUAAAUGUUAGGUGUUUGAAGAUGUGAAGAGUAAGAGAGUUUAGGAACUGAUAUUAUAGGAAUAGAAAUUUUAAAUAAGAAUUGAGGAAGAGCAGAUUUGGUUUAAAUAGAAAAUAAAAGGAACAAUCUGGAUUUCAAGAGGUGUAAUAGAUGAGAUGUGUCCAGUUGGAUGGACUUAUCUCUUGGGCUUAAAGUGAGUGUUUCUGCUUUUAAUAAUAGGUGGGAAGUAUAUGUGGCACACCUAUUGUUAAAUUUAAAAUGCUAAUGUUUAAGAAUAAAGCAUAGUGCUAACCUAAUGAGGGACCUGGUCCCUAUAUGAUUUUUCGAACCCAUAGUGCUUGAAGUUGUCUCAUAAACCUUUUUGAUCUUCUCUUCCUUACCAUGGGUUUAUAAUUGUAAAAUACAUGAGACUAAGUUAUAUAGAGGUAACACUAUCUUGCAUGAAUACCUGCUCAUCAAUUCAUAGCCAUCAUGGAGGAAUAAAAUAAACAACAAGCAAUCAACUUGGCCUCAUCAGACCCAACUUCAUUAUGUUUUUUUCAAAGUAUUCCCUUCCAAGAGCUUUAGUAAGGAUAUCAGUUAUCUGAUCCUCUGUGUUAUAGCUGACAAUUUUGAUCAAACCCUUCUCUACAUUAUCUUUGAGAAAGUGAUGUUUAAUGUUUAUAUGUUUGGUUCUCUUAUGUUAAGUUGGAUUCUUGAACAUAAUAAUAGUACUUGUGCUGUCACAAAAUAGAGGAACACAAUCUGAGAAAAUUCCAAAGACUUUAAUUUGAUGCUUGAUCCAAAGUAGUUGAGUACAACAUGAAAUAGUUGCUACACACUCAGCUUCAACAGUAGAAAGGGCUACUAGAUUUUAUUUCCUUGUACCCUAGGAUAUCAAGGAGGAUCCUAAGAAGUGAUCCAUUCGUGAAGUGAUCUUUCUAUCGACCUGGUACCAACAUAAUCAGCAUCAACAUACCCUACCAGGUCAAAACUGUCACCAGAAAGAUAGAGAAGGACCAGAUCGAGGGUUCUCUUGAAAUAUCUCAGAAAUUUUUUGGCAACCUUCAAGUGAGAUUCAUUUGAAUUUUCUUAAAUUCUAGCACACAUCCCUACACUGAACAAAAUGUCAGGUCUUCUAGCAGUAAGAUAGAGCAAUGAACCAAUGAUUUCACUAUACGUAGUUUCAUUUAUAGAGGAACCAGGUUCAUUCAUGUCCAAUUUUAAGGAUGUUCCAAUUGAAGAACUACACAAAUAAACUACUAGCCUAGGGACCUGGUCCCAACUAACGUAUGCAGUUAUGAACAAAAAUAAAAGUAAAGUAAACAUAAAAGAAUAAUGCACACAGAUAAUAUUUUAUGUGGAAACUCCUUACUCAAGGUAGAAAAAUCAUAACCUACCUCGUAGGAUUUCCAACCACUUCACUAAGCUCAAGGAACCUUGAAUACAGACUUCAUGGUUUAAAGAUUAAACUCUAAACUUUUCCUUAACUUGUAAUAACUCUAUUACAAUGAACUCCAAUGCAGUAACUUUAUUGCAUCCACUGACUCAGCUAACUCUAACUAAAUAGUAAUUAAGCUAACUCUAGCUCUUUUGACAACUAACUCUAGAUGAUACUUUUACUAUAAGAACUGAGAAAAAUUCACCUACAAAUAAUGAAUUAGAGCAGUAGACAAUGUUUACAAACAUAAAGCAAAGACUCCAAUACAAUAAGAGAUUAAGACACAAAAACGAGUUAAGUAGGUCCCUGUUACAUGUGAAUCUUUAAUCUGAUAGCUUCAAUAGAGAUUUGAUGUUGUAAGAAUAUGGAACCUUAAGUUUUAUUGUUGUAACAUGUUGUAUAUAUAAAAGACAAGAAAACAAAGGACGUCAGUGAUUAGUUAAACAAAGGCAAUAUUGCAGCUUUGCCACCAACCUUCUGCAAUCGGUACUUUUUCAGCUGUAAUACUGACCAAGUGAAAGCGACAUGAAUGCAAUCAACCUAGUCCCUAAGCAACUUUAGUUUUUCCAUCAAAAAGGUUAUAUAAACCAGGUCUCAAGUUGAUAAUUUUUCAAUCAUCAACACUAAAGACUUAACAAUCAUAACGUCAUAAAAUUUACAAAUCAAACUCAGUUUAUAAAGAGGAAGCCAUGAAAAAAUCUACACUAAUUAGAUGGAAAAACACGAACAAGGAUAAGGGAUGUGUCAUGAAUACAUGUAAUACCCCGUACUUUUCUUAGCUUGAAAUCGUCCCAAGAAAUCUAGAAGCUUGUUCUGAAAUAUGAAUCCACUUUUGUACACGUGGUAUUUUUAAGAUUUUCACUUUUUGUCAAGUAGGAAAUUGAAUAAGCUUUCCAUCGAUACUAAUUUCAUCAAAAUCCGACAUUAAAAGAGAAAGUUAUGGCUGAAAUACAGAAAAUAGUAAAACCGCCCAGGUGCGACGGUGAGGCUGAUGGACCGUCAGACUAGCGAAGGACCUUCGCCCACAAUCGUUGCAGCGAGGCAGUGUGAACACCUUCUACCCAGGAUCGACAGCCCAGGCUAACGAACUGUCGGACUAGCGACGGAUCGUCGCUCAGGCCGUCCCAAGGAAAACAGUGAGGCCUCAUUCUUCCUAGAAGCGACGGUCAGGACUGAUGGACCAUCGACCCAGCGACAGACCAUCGCACCCCACUGUCGCACCAAGGUAGUAAGUUCCAGUUUUUCUCCCAGUACGACAGUCAGUCUAACGUACCGUCGACCCAACGAUGGACCAUAGCACCCACCGUCGCAUAUUCCGUUCAGUUAUUUUAAAGCCAUUUUUAAAGGGUUUUUUGGUCUUUUACCACCCAUUUAUAUACCUAGUUAUAUCCUAUCAAAGCUCAGAAAUUUAUUAUCUAUCUACAAUAACAAAAUUAGGGUUUUCUUUCUAAGAUUAAUCCCCAAGAAUAAAAUCCAAAUCUUCUUCAAGAACUAAGAGAUUCCAAUCCUUCAAGUUUAAAAACUUCAAGAAUCUCAUUACUAGGUAUGCAUAGUGUUCAUUCAUGGACUCCUUUCGUCCAUGAAGCCCAAUAAUAUCUUUUUAAAGUUUAAGUGUAUGAAUUUUUGUAUGAAUUUCAUGUUGGGUUUGUUUUUGUUCUUGUUGAGAAUGAUCAAUUGAAUUCUAAUCUAUGUUGGGUGAUCAAUUUUAUGUGGAAUUGAUUAGUAUAGAUAUAGAUUCAUGUGACCUAUGAUUAAACCCUUGAUUAGUAUUUAUUGUAUAAUGUUGCCUACAUAUACUAUGCCUACCAUGUGUUUGAUUAAACGCCCAUGUGAAGGAAAAAUGACCAACUAAUAUGAUAUUAUAAGAUCCCCAUUUAUGUACAAGCUUAUGGAUAUCACAUGUUUGAUGAAUUGCCUCAAUAAAUAAAUUAUGGAUUCUGAUGUUGGUCAUGUAUUCAAGAAAGUCAUUCUUUGUCAGUUUCUUUUCAUUGAGUCCUGGGGGUACUUGUAACCAAAAAUUUAGCUGUGUGCCUAGAUCCAUGUCAUGUUUUCACGGUAUCCUCAAUCAAGCCAUGAUCCAUAGAACUCAGUCAGUCAUGUGACUUAGUAAAGCUCAAUAAUUCCAUAACCUCAGUAAUCUCACGAACUCAGUCAGUUGUCAAAUAUCAAUAGUAUUUUAUCAGUUAACAGAAUUUAGUAAACUCAGUCCAUGUUUAGAUCAGUUAAUCAUGUUCAGUGUCUGUUCAGAUGGGAGUAGAAAUUAUCACCGAGUAAACCCAAGGAUGGGAACUCACAUGCCAGUAGAAGGUGUGAUUCUUAGAAGCAAUCCUUGCAUUCCAGAACUACGUAGCCAGUGUAGGUUGAGACAUCAUACCUACUAGUUGAGGGUAGAUGAGGUGGCUUAACCUGCUAGUUGAGGGUUCCCACCGUUCUUAUUAGAGUAACCUACUAGUCGUGGGUCACUCACAUGUUGCCCUUACCAGUGGCGCUGUAUUGACACCCUUCCAAUCAGGGCACGGAUCGGACCCUGAUUCAGCUAUAAUACAUUAUUUGGGGCAUAUCAAUUAUAUGAAUACCUCCCACAGUUUCAGUAUCAGUAAAAGAACUCAGAUAGUUCUUCAAAUUUUAGGAUUGUCAAAUACAAUCAACUUAGAUACAGUAUGAAACUCAACUAGUUCCAUUAGAUUCAGGACUGUCAGAUACAGUCACUCAUGUUAUCAGUUAUAUCAGUUAUCAGUAUGUCAUACUAUCAGUAAUCAGAAUCAGAAAUCAUGUUAUCACGACCUCAGUUACAGUUACUAUGUAUUCAUGCAUGCAUUCUCACGUUCAUAUCAUGCAUAUGAACCCCAUUCAUUAAGCCUACCUCACAUGCAUACCAGUGUAUUCAAAGUACUGACGUAUUUUCGCUAUGGUGUCUUAUACCAUAGAUUCAUAGGCACAAGUUCCAAAGCAUCAGUAGCAUUCCAGUCUUAAUAGUCAGAGUUAGCAGUGAGUCCUCAUCUUUCGAGGACAUGAUCAUUAUUUUAUUAUCUCAUUAGUUAAUUUAUUAGUUGGAGUUAGUUGGGAACAUGUCCCAUCAACUCCUUAUUCAGACAGUCAUGUUUUAAAGAAUUUUCAGACUACAGUAUGUUCAGAUAGUUUAUUUCAGUUGUUUUGGGUAUUUCAUACCCCACUCAGAUGUUAUACUUUUGCAGAUCCCAUGUUAUAGUUUUGAACCUUAUGGCCUUUCAGUUCAUGUUUCCAUAAUUAUACAGUAUAUUAUGCAGUAUACAGGUACAGAUAUCAUUCAUGGGUUAGAUUGUGGUCCUUCGGGGUCAUGAGCACCGUGUAGCAUUUCAGGUACCAGAUUUGGAGCGUUACAAUACACUUUAAUAAUUGAUGAAAUAUUAUAUUUAUAGAGGAUUUUGUUUUAACCCUAGAUCAUCAAGAAGGGUGUCACGUCCCAAAAUAAUAUCCAAAUGUGAUUGGCUCCCGCUAACACCAUCUGUCGGGAGAACCAAUCUUCCUUACACCUUAUCAGUUGAUAAGUACUAAAAUAACGUAUGCAGCUCCAACGCAUCAAUAAAUAACAAAUAGUAAUUCAAUAAAAAAAUUCGUAAUCAAACUUAAAUUCAACAAUCACUCGAGAACUUAAUUUUGGUCCCAAAUCUCACUCUAAGACAUGGAGCAUCUGAAAUAGAGUUACAUGAGUUCAAUCUUCAGGCAUGAAAACCCGAUGAAAAAAAAAACAUAAACUAGAUAAUCAAAGAUGAAACGAAAGCCUCCACGAACAAUGUGAAGGCUCACCUUAACAAUAGAAUCCUUACGAAGGAACCGGCACCCACUAAUUUCACCUUGCGCAGUAGUAUCUGCAGACAUGUAAGUAAGGAGUAAGCUAUAUAUAAAUAUAACUUAGUAAGAUCAUCAGCUCUAAGUACUCCUGGGACAAGUAUUAGAAAAUACAACAACACCAAGAACAUAAAUUUAUUACACAAUAUCACAAUAAGGUGACUAACGAGGCCCAACAAUCCUUCAUCAAGAACCAUAUACCUCAAUACAAUUCAUACAAAGCACUUUUCAUAAUUUGUAAUUAAAGUAAUUAGCCAAUACCAUACAUUUCCGGCAACAUAAACAAUGCGUCAAAUAUAUCAUGAGUAUACACAGUACUCAGGAAAGCAUACCCAAUGCUCAAGGAAAGUAUACUCAAUGACCAAGAAAAGCAUACUCAAUGUCCCAACGAAAUUAAGAAGCAUACACUAUGCCCUAAUGAAAUUAAGAAGCAUACUUAAUGCCUCAAUGAAAUUAAGAAUCAUACACAAUGCCUCAAUAGAAUUAAGAAGCAUACAUAAUGCCCCAGUGGAAUUAAGAAGCAUACACAAUACCCCAAUCUCACAGUACAUAAUCACAUCACAUCACGAAAUAAUUUAUAAAGGAAAAAUUAGUAUUCUUAAACAUAAAGUAUAUGUGGUUGGCCUUGAAGACCAUCGAUUCUGCCAAGCACACGCUCGUCCCAACACAUGGAUCAGGCAGACAAAAACAUAUUUUAAAAAUAAAUUUGAAAAACAAGUACCCAAAGCUUAAAGUCUCAUUUACAUCGCUAAUGACAAAUUUCCAACCUUGCUACGCAUAGAACACCAACCAAACAACCUUUAAUAGCCUCAAUCUAUACAAAAAUAUUAAUUGAUGAUAUUAAUAAUUGUGCAAGUCGGUACCAUUUCUUAAUAUCUCUAAUUUUCAAGUUUAAAGAUAAACUAUAAAUUAAAGAGAAAAUUAUUUAUAUAACACAGCCCAUUAAUAAAUCAUCUAUUAAAUAAAUUAACACCUAAUCUCAAAUAGCAAAUUGUGCAUGAAAUUUUUUUUAAAAGAAAUUUGCACUUCUAUAGCAACUAUAUAGCCUCAUAGUAGCCAACAGUGCAGCCUUCAACUGCUAAAAGAAAAUCCCACCAUCAUCAUUGGUCAAUGAUUACUUAUUCAACAAUCAUUAUCACAUCAUGGAUAGAUAUUUCUAUAGUCAUUACUCUAAUCACCACUAUAUCUAUUACAAUGGUAGGCAAAAGUUUCCACAUUUAAUAAUUCUUAAGCCCUCAUGCGAAUGUAUAUCAAUAUAAAUAUUACCUGUAGAUUCAUACUUGAUACUUGAGCAGUGAUUCAAAGAUUCUCCUUGUGUUUGGUUAUAAACUUUCAAGAGUUUUUUUCUCCGCAAGUUUUUUUUUUCUUUCAAAAAUAAAGGAAUCAAGAAGCCCUAAUAUUCUAUUCCUCUGAACUAAAACGUGAAAAAAAAAAUGAAUAGGAGAGAGGGUUUUGAUUUUUGGCUUGCUCACUUUAAUUUUCUUAAUUAAUAUAAUAAUAUAGGCUAAAUUACUCAUUUACCUCUCAUUAAAAAGUCUAAGAUAUUAUAAAGGGAGUGGACCUAACAUAAAGAGGUAACAAUUACAGAGAUUAAUGAAUUUAAUCAGUCUUACAUACCUCGGAAACGAAGAAGAACUUGUGAUGGGAAUUGGAAGUAACUUCUCUUGAUUCUUGUGAUGAUUCUCUUGACUUCACUAUAAGGAAAAAGGCACCACUAUUUACAUAUGUUACAACAUUCUCCUCUAUUUCAUUCACUUCUCCACCAUAACAGCAACCAAUUCUCCCACCAAACUCCAUCUCCUUCACUCAACCAUAUCACUGCCACCCACAAUGCUCCAUUAACAUACCACUACAGCCAUUCUCACACACAACACCAAAUACACACACGACACAGCAACAACACCGCAACCAACUUACUCCGUUAACAACCAAGGUCCAGCCACUGCAACUCCACCCAAAACCAACAAUUCACUAAUGUUGGACGGAGUGGGGUGCGAGUGUCAACGUGCGAUGGUGUAAAAGACUGGGUUGGGUCUAUUUGGUGUCUCGUCGGUGAGGGUUUACUAGCGAUGGUGUCCUAAAACAGCGAAGAGCUAGGGUGGAGUCCGAAGGAAGUUUUCAGAUUCGUAAAUGGAGAUUGAAAAUGCUGAUGUUAAUGGAGAUACAUAAGAAUGAUGCAUCUGUUAAGAAAGUCUGGAGAUACAUAACAAAUUAAGAAUGAUAUAUCUAGUUGAAAAGGACAAGAAGAUACAUCACGUGAUCCUCCAUCAAAUAUAUAAAAGUUAUGUAUCUUACUGAAUAUUAGGUUACAGAUACAUAAGAAAGAUGUUUUUCGUUGAAAAUCUGACAAAAAUCAUGUAUUGGAAUACUUUUUGUGUUACUGAUACAUAAGACUUAUGUAUUUGAAUGUAUCUCUGUGAUAUUAAUACAUAAGAAUUAUGUAACGGUACUUAUGUAUAAGAAAGAUUAUGUAUCCAAGCCUUAGUAAUGUAUCUGAAAAUUAAAAUUCGAAAUCUUAUGUAAUUAUCAAAAGAGUGAAUAUAAUUAGGUACGAAGCAGUUGAGAUUUAUGAAAGUUGCUCUUACAUAAAUCUAUAUAACAUUAAAAUUGGAAAGCUCUUUAGACAAAUUCUAACGUGAUAACCCUAUUUUAAUAAUAAUGAAAGAAAACUAAGGCUUACCCUACUAAUGAAGAGAUGGCAACGCCUCAUCGGUUGUUUUAAUGUAUUUCAUAGGUUAUUAUUAGCAUAUUAUUUAUAGUUGAGUACAUCAAAAGAAGACAUGCAACCAUGUCUUACAUACUACAUCAGUCUUGCAAAUUUGUCGGAUCAUAUUUGAAGGUUAGAUUUGCAGAAUUUGUAUUUUUAUAAAAUUUCAAGUUUUUUUAUAAAAAGAAUCGCGAUAAUUACUUUGCAAAAAAAUAAAAGUGCACAGGAUGGAAUUCUUUAAUAGCUUUGAAUAAGAUUGUCGUUUUUUCACCUCUUAACAUUGUUUACCAGUUUGAAAUUUACGAAGAGGCAUAGUAGAUGUGAAGAGGCAGAUGUGUAUAAUUAAAGUAGAUGACAUAUUUUAUGUAGUUAAUUAUUUAAUAGAAAAAUGAAGACGCGUGCAAAAGUUUUUUGAAACUUUUAAUCGAAAGUAUCUAAUUAAAACACUUUAUUAAGAGUUGAACUAUUUAAUUGAAUAAUGAAUUAAUUAGUUGGAAUAUCGAAAUAUAAUAUCCGGACAAGUUUAUGGGGUUGAUUAUGUGUUACGCCAAAUAUUUAUAAUAUGUGGAUAGAAAAGAAACAUAAACAGAUUAUCGACAAAAAAUGUGAAAAAUAUGAAAUGUUUACAGUCGAAAGAGGUCUAACCAUAAAGGAAAUAAAACUAAAAUAUCAAAAUUAGACAUAAAAUAAGUAAAAGAUGCAUAUUCAAAAUAUGUAUCUGGGUAGACAUUUUUUUGCGAAUACUUCAAACCAUGAAAACUAAAAACAGUCAUGUCAAACUAUAUUAACACUAGUUUUGCUUACCACCAAAUUAAAAGUUGUGGUGGGAUAAAUUGUCCUUUUAUCUGUACGUAAAGGUUUAAAAUUUGAGUCUUGAAAAUAUAAAAACUAAUUGUGGCGAGAAAGAUAGAAUUCGUCCGUCGUUAAGCAUAAGUCUAGAUUGGAGCCUUAGGAAGAGUAUUUUUUGUGGAAAGUAUUUCCCUCAUAGAUAGAAACAUGUACUUUAAACUUUUGUGUAUAUUAUUUAUUCAGAAUUUAAUUUUAAUAAAAUUGAUAUUUAUUUUAAAAUAGCUAUCCUAUAGUAUUGUAUGGUUUGAAGACCUAAUACUCUUUGUGGAGAGUUUAGUGAAGUUUUCAACUUGUCAAAUUCUUCAUUCUUGAUAAAUAAGUCGUCAUACCAUGUCCAUACUGAUCAUAGAAAAAUUUAUAUUUAAUUUUUUAUUCAUGAUUAUCUAUUCAAAAUUUUAUUUAAUAAUUUUGAUUGAAAUUAUUUUAUAAAAAUUGCACACUACAUGAUUCGAAAUAUACAUGCCGAGAAACUAGAAAUGUAUUAUUAUCCUAUAUAAUACUACUUUUAUUUUAAUUUGUAGGGGGGUGCGCGGAUUUAUAGGUAUAAUAGGUAUAAUANNNNNNNNNNNNNNNNNNNNNNNNNNNNNNNNNNNNNNNNNNNNNNNNNNNNNNNNNNNNNNNNNNNNNNNNNNNNNNNNNNNNNNNNNNNNNNNNNNNNNNNNNNNNNNNNNNNNNNNNNNNNNNNNNNNNNNNNNNNNNNNNNNNNNNNNNNNNNNNNNNNNNNNNNNNNNNNNNNNNNNNNNNNNNNNNNNNNNNNNNNNNNNNNNNNNNNNNNNNNNNNNNNNNNNNNNNNNNNNNNNNNNNNNNNNNNNNNNNNNNNNNNNNNNNNNNNNNNNNNNNNNNNNNNNNNNNNNNNNNNNNNNNNNNNNNNNNNNNNNNNNNNNNNNNNNNNNNNNNNNNNNNNNNNNNNNNNNNNNNNNNNNNNNNNNNNNNNNNNNNNNNNNNNNNNNNNNNNNNNNNNNNNNNNNNNNNNNNNNNNNNNNNNNNNNNNNNNNNNNNNNNNNNNNNNNNNNNNNNNNNNNNNNNNNNNNNNNNNNNNNNNNNNNNNNNNNNNNNNNNNNNNNNNNNNNNNNNNNNNNNNNNNNNNNNNNNNNNNNNNNNNNNNNNNNNNNNNNNNNNNNNNNNNNNNNNNNNNNNNNNNNNNNNNNNNNNNNNNNNNNNNNNNNNNNNNNNNNNNNNNNNNNNNNNNNNNNNNNNNNNNNNNNNNNNNNNNNNNNNNNNNNNNNNNNNNNNNNNNNNNNNNNNNNNNNNNNNNNNNNNNNNNNNNNNNNNNNNNNNNNNNNNNNNNNNNNNNNNNNNNNNNNNNNNNNNNNNNNNNNNNNNNNNNNNNNNNNNNNNNNNNNNNNNNNNNNNNNNNNNNNNNNNNNNNNNNNNNNNNNNNNNNNNNNNNNNNNNNNNNNNNNNNNNNNNNNNNNNNNNNNNNNNNNNNNNNNNNNNNNNNNNNNNNNNNNNNNNNNNNNNNNNNNNNNNNNNNNNNNNNNNNNNNNNNNNNNNNNNNNNNNNNNNNNNNNNNNNNNNNNNNNNNNNNNNNNNNNNNNNNNNNNNNNNNNNNNNNNNNUAUUAUACCUAUUAUACCUAUAAAUCCGCGCACCCCCCUACAAAUGGUAUCAAAUCUAUUAUACCUACCUAUAAAUCCGCGCACCCCCCUACAAAUGGUAUCAGAGAUUUAGCUGCUCCUUUACCAUUUACAGGCUCUAGUAUUAUUGUUGGUGUUGGUGUUGGUGUUGUUCAUCUUGAAAUUUAUAAUAAUUCCAUUUUGAACUCUUCACCAGUAUUUCAUUUCCCUAAAUUAUGUGUGAGCCCUGGUGACUUUGGGUUGUGGUGAUUAUGGUGUUUACCUGGUGGAGAUUGGCCGGAAAAAAUCGCGAUUGUUUUUUGGGCCGAAAGUCGGAGCCCAUUUCUUUCACCGAAAAAAUGGUGGGCUUGUUGUUUGGUGGCCAUGCAAUAGCUAAUUCACUCGAAAAGAGGUGGAGUCUUCCAAAGUUGUAUUAAAAUUAUAUUAAAUAUAAAUAUCGUUGUAAUAUAAUUCGAAUUUAAUUUUGUACAGUGUUAUGAAUUUGGUAAUUGUUUCGUAACAAAAAUAAUACACUUCUAACAACGUAAGCUAAUUUAAAUUGUAAUGAAAUAUUUGAAAUUCACAGUAAUACUUAUAAUAUAUUUGUAUUAAAAUAUUUAGUUAUAUAUAUUUACUAUGUAUGUUGAAAAUAUGUAUAAUAUAGUGAAUUCAAAAUAUAUUCUAAUUGUAGUUUACUUUUUCUCUUAUUAAUGAUGCUAAAAAUGUUUAUAUCUGAAUUUCAACCAUUUAAAUAAUAUUUACAUUAGUUUGUGUGUUUAUAGUUAAGUUGUAUUAGAAAUAUAUCAUAUAUGUAUUUGGCUAUAUUUAAUAAGAAAAUUGGUUACAAUCUGUACAGUAAAAGACGUGCUAUGAUUUGUAAAUAAGGUUGUAUGUUAUACCAUUUAUAUAAAUUGGCCGUAGGCAUUUUGGAUGGUAGCUCGUCUAAUCUGAUUGUCUCUCUGUAAAGCAUACAUAACGUUUUAUUUGGGACUCGAAUUGAUGCGUGGUUAGUCGUCUUGAAAAGAAGACUCAAAAAUCGUUAAUUUGGUGGGUGAGUGAUAACUCUUUAUAUUUAAGAAGGAAUGCUCGUUUAAUUAACCCUAUAGAAACUUAAAGGAAAAUUCAAUUGUUAGAAAUGUUUUACUCAACUUUGUGUUAGGGAUUUCUUAUGAUCUUAAUUCACAUUCAAUACACUUCCUACACUUAAGGAUUCACCUUCCUACCUAGGUACAGUAAAAUUUAUUGGGUUUGGAUCUACUACCGUAUCUCUAUAUAGGGUUGUGCAAAAAUCGAACCAAUAAAAAUGUUAUUCGGUUAUUGGUAUUGGGUUAUCGGGUUACCGGUAUUUUAUUGGUUUUAUAAAAAAAAUUUAUUGGGUAAACGGUUCGAUAUCGAUUUUAGCUUAUUGGGUAAUCGGUUAAACCGAUAACCCAAUAAGGAUACACUAAGUUAUUGUUUAUCCCUAUUUAUGUUAUAUAUUUAAAUCUCUCUCUCUCUUGAUCUAUCUAUCUCUCUAUAUAUAUAGAAAGAGAGAAAUAUAUAUAGAUGUGUGUAUGUAUAUAUAUUAUAUGCACUACUAAUUCAUAAUUCAAUGAUUCACAAAGUAUUAACCUAUUCAGGGCAACAAAGGCACAAUAUAAAGUUCGGCUAUUAUAGUAAUUAAAAGCUUGAAGCAUUUAUAGCCUCCAACAAUUAGGAUUCAAUUUUUUUCCUAAAUAACAUUCAGUUCAAGUUUCAAGAUUCUUGUAAAUUAAAAUACAUUGCGUAGGUUUUGGCGGUAAUUAAGAUUUCAUUUUUUUAUAUUAGUUGUUACUAUUUCUAUUUUAUAAGUAUUUUCUUAUUGGUUAAACCGAAAACCAAACUGUUAAGGACCAAAAAUCGAUAAAUCGAAACCGAUAAGAAAAUAUCUUAUUUAUUGGUUAUUGGUUUUACAUAUUUAAAAACUGAAAACUGAUAAACCGAAUCAAUAACACGUAAAACCGAAUUGAACCGACCGGAGCGCACUCCUAUCUCUAUACUUAGAACAGGUCAAAUAUUAGCCUGAAAAUUUGAGGUGUUACAUAAAUUCAGGAAUAUGUGACCUCUUUUACCAAUUACCAUCCAGCAUAAGUUUAUCAUUUAUAACAAUAUCUGAAACUACAGCAGCUUGAUUUGUAAACAAUAACGUAAAAUUCAAUUGCACCAACCAACCAAAAAAGAUAUCACCCAUUUUGAUCCUAUGUACUACCAUAUGUCACUCAAUUUUUACAUGUCUCAAACCAUUAUUCAAAAACAUAGCUUCUUUAAAAUCUCAAACCACUAUUUCACAAUUUUUACUGCUAUUAAAAUGUCUGAGAAGAUGCAAAGAACCAUACCUUUUUUUAUCUAUAUUAGUGUGAUGAACUCAACAUAAAAGAGGCAAACACAAUUCCAGAAAUUCGAGAAAUUUCACUAAAAUUGAGAAAUGAACAGUACUCAAUAGUAAUAACUGAAAUUCGAAAUAAUUUAACCGUAAUUUAAACUAUAUUUGAACAAAAAAUUAAUUCAAAAAACUCGAUGACUACUCAGCCACCAACGAUUUCAAUAAAUUCAGCUCAAAUCCAACUGAAUUAAUCUUCAUUCCUCAUACAGCAAUCAAAUUAAAGAUCAGAUCGAGUCCAAUUAAUCCUAGAUAAUCUCAAUUUGAGUUGAGUUCCAUAGAAAAUGAAAUUUAGAAAUUAAGAGAGAAGGAAAGAGUGAGAUCAGAUGUGGGAUAAAGAAAGAGAAAGGGAGAAAGAAAGAGAUGGAAGAGCACAAGUUAAGUGCAUACUAGUUUUUACAAUGCCCUCUCAUUUUGGAUUAUUUUGUAUAUAUGUGUUCCUUUGAUGAAUCUUUACCUUUGAUCUGCAUUUAAUCUCCACCCUUGGUUUCUAACUAACUCAACCUUUAUUAAUUGAGUCCAAACGACAGCAUAUUACUUAAUUAAGCUAAAAUUUUAUAUUCGGAUCAUUACAUUCUACCCUCCAUGAAAAUAUUUUUUUCCUCAAGAAUGUGAUGCUGAUUGUUGAAUGAAGUCAGGAAAUUAUGCUUCGAUGAAAGACCAAUCUUCCUAUGUGACCUCCUCAAGAUGAAAUUUUCCCAUUGCACCUUAACGACCACAACAUUAUUUUCUUUCACCAUUUUUCUUCGUAAAAUAGUCAUAGGCCUAACUAGCAUUUUUCCAUUGGUACCCACUAAGGGUAGUUGAUGUUAAGGUAUAAUAGUAGAAUCAAUCCUUUUCUUUAAAAAUGAGACAUGAAAAAAUGGGUGAACUAGGGAAGUUUCAGGAAGUAACAGUUUGUAAGUGUCACACCUCAAAUCCUAUUGGGGCGGACUGGCACCCGUAACCGAGGAGGCCCGGGAGAACCAGCUCAUAACCUUAUACUUCCCAUGCAUACCUCUAUGACAACCCGAAAUUCGGACAGCAUCAUGUUGCAUAUAAAAGGAAAUAAUCACCUCUAUAAGCUCAAGCACACAUAUAUAUGUAUAUACAAUACUUGGCCGUUGGAGUCAUCACGUCUAUUAACAAAACACCACCUUGACUGUACAUUAGGUCUACAAAGCCUCUAGACAAUACACAGAGUUUAACUAAGGUCGGGACACNNNNNNNNNNNNNNNNNNNNNNNNNNNNNNNNNNNNNNNNNNNNNNNNNNNNNNNNNNNNNNNNNNNNNNNNNNNNNNNNNNNNNNNNGCUCCUACUUGUGCGGUGUAUGAGCUGAGGUACCUGUGCCUGCAGCAUGAAAUGUAGGUCCCCCGUGGGGGACGUCAGUACGAAAUAUGUACUGAGUAUGUAAAGCUGUAGAUAAUCACAUAUGAUAUAGGAGCUCAAAAGAAAUCAAAAACAAGUGAAUAAAUCGUAAUAGGAGUGGACCACACUUACUAGAACUUGUGACAACCUAUACAUUGUAUUUAUUCAAUCAUUUUACCUUCGUUCUUAUCAUCUUUGUAAUCAUUACUGUACUGUACUGUGACCAUUAGGCUGCCUCCAGUACAUAUCAACUGGGAUCGACCCAUGAUAGGCUUAUGCCCCUGGGAUACCACCCAUAAACACAUAAAUAGGGAUCGACCCAAAGGGAUAAUUCAAAGGGAUUUCAUUUCAUAUAAAUUAGGCCACCAGUUCGUCCUGUACAAGGAGUUAUGAUCGUUUGAAGUUGACCCUAAAAAUCUGUUUUGAGAGGCUGUAGUAAAACGAGUAUAACUCCUUACUCAGAUGUUGGAUUUGGAUGAAACCAAUUGCAUCGGAAAGAAGACUCACAGAUAUUUCUUUUGAUAUGUGGUAGCUCUCCCAGUUCAUUAUAUUGAGGGAGUUAUGAUCGUUCAAAGUUGACCCAAAAAACUGGCAGGCCUCAGUAGUUUGUGUGCAGGAAAUUUUCCUGCACAUUUACUGUUCACAACAUCCCGGCCACCGUUUUAUAGUUUCGAACGUGCUCGAUUAUAUCCGAAACUUAUCCGUUUUUGGAAAUCUUUAUAUCAUUGGAAAGAUUAUUCAAUAACCUUCGUAUGGAACCAUCGACGGGCAAAUUCCGGUAUAAAUANNNNNNNNNNNNNNNNNNNNNNNNNNNNNNNNNNNNNNNNNNNNNNNNNNNNNNNNNNNNNNNNNNNNNNNNNNNNNNNNNNNNNNNNNNNNNNNNNNNNNNNNNNNNNNNNNNNNNNNNNNNNNNNNNNNNNNNNNNNNNNNNNNNNNNNNNNNNNNNNNNNNNNNNNNNNNNNNNNNNNNNNNNNNNNNNNNNNNNNNNNNNNNNNNNNNNNNNNNNNNNNNNNNNNNNNNNNNNNNNNNNNNNNNNNNNNNNNNNNNNNNNNNNNNNNNNNNNNNNNNNNNNNNNNNNNNNNNNNNNNNNNNNNNNNNNNNNNNNNNNNNNNNNNNNNNNNNNNNNNNNNNNNNNNNNNNNNNNNNNNNNNNNNNNNNNNNNNNNNNNNNNNNNNNNNNNNNNNNNNNNNNNNNNNNNNNNNNNNNNNNNNNNNNNNNNNNNNNNNNNNNNNNNNNNNNNNNNNNNNNNNNNNNNNNNNNNNNNNNNNNNNNNNNNNNNNNNNNNNNNNNNNNNNNNNNNNNNNNNNNNNNNNNNNNNNNNNNNNNNNNNNNNNNNNNNNNNNNNNNNNNNNNNNNNNNNNNNNNNNNNNNNNNNNNNNNNNNNNNNNNNNNNNNNNNNNNNNNNNNNNNNNNNNNNNNNNNNNNNNNNNNNNNNNNNNNNNNNNNNNNNNNNNNNNNNNNNNNNNNNNNNNNNNNNNNNNNNNNNNNNNNNNNNNNNNNNNNNNNNNNNNNNNNNNNNNNNNNNNNNNNNNNNNNNNNNNNNNNNNNNNNNNNNNNNNNNNNNNNNNNNNNNNNNNNNNNNNNNNNNNNNNNNNNNNNNNNNNNNNNNNNNNNNNNNNNNNNNNNNNNNNNNNNNNNNNNNNNNNNNNNNNNNNNNNNNNNNNNNNNNNNNNNNNNNNNNNNNNNNNNNNNNNNNNNNNNNNNNNNNNNNNNNNNNNNNNNNNNNNNNNNNNNNNNNNNNNNNNNNNNNNNNNNNNNNNNNNNNNNNNNNNNNNNNNNNNNNNNNNNNNNNNNNNNNNNNNNNNNNNNNNNNNNNNNNNNNNNNNNNNNNNNNNNNNNNNNNNNNNNNNNNNNNNNNNNNNNNNNNNNNNNNNNNNNNNNNNNNNNNNNNNNNNNNNNNNNNNNNNNNNNNNNNNNNNNNNNNNNNNNNNNNNNNNNNNNNNNNNNNNNNNNNNNNNNNNNNNNNNNNNNNNNNNNNNNNNNNNNNNNNNNNNNNNNNNNNNNNNNNNNNNNNNNNNNNNNNNNNNNNNNNNNNNNNNNNNNNNNNNNNNNNNNNNNNNNNNNNNNNNNNNNNNNNNNNNNNNNNNNNNNNNNNNNNNNNNNNNNNNNNNNNNNNNNNNNNNNNNNNNNNNNNNNNNNNNNNNNNNNNNNNNNNNNNNNNNNNNNNNNNNNNNNNNNNNNNNNNNNNNNNNNNNNNNNNNNNNNNNNNNNNNNNNNNNNNNNNNNNNNNNNNNNNNNNNNNNNNNNNNNNNNNNNNNNNNNNNNNNNNNNNNNNNNUAAAAAAUUAAUUCCAUAUAAAUAAGACCAAUACAUGUACUUGAAUAUGGGGUGUUAUAUCCUUCCCCCCUUUAUGACAUUCGUCCUCGAAUGUUAGCGUAUUUAUUCAACCAAAAAAAGUUCAAGUCCAUCAUUAAUAUUCACGUCAUCACAUAAAUACUAUGCAUCUAUAAAAAAAAAGCUUACUUGUUAAUGUUCUAACUCCGUUUCUUAAACUUCCUCUUCAUCUUUGAACAAAUGAGGGUACUUAGAUUUCAUUGCUUCCUCAGCUUCCCAUGUAAUCUCUUCCCUUUGAUGAUUUCUCCAACGUACUUUCACAGAUGCUAUCUCUUUAUUUCUCAUCUUCUGAACUUGGCGAUCUAGAAUAGCAAUAGGCACUUCCUCAUAGGUAAGAUCUUCCGUAACUUGCACACCCUCAGUAGAAGUGAUAUGCGAUGGAUCUCCAAUGCACUUUCGAAGCAUUGACACAUAAAAUACCAAAUGUACUGAUGAAAGCUCUUGGGGUAGCUCUAAUUCAUAUGCAACUUGUCCAAACCUUCGAGUGAUCUUAUACGGGCCUAUAUAACGUGGACUCAACUUUCCUUUCUUGCCAAAUCUCAUUACACCUUCAAAAAUACUCAAUCACCUAUAGAAAACUCUAGCCCUUUCCUUUCUCUAUGGCUUGAUAAACAAGAUCCGGUCCGAACAAAAGAGUUUCACCCACUUCGAACCAUCCUAUUGGUCCUAUUGGUGAUCUACACUUUCUCCCAUAUAAAGCUUCAUAUGGUGCCAUUUUGAUACUUGAAUGAUAGCUAUUAUUGUAGGCAAACUCAAUAAGAGGUAAAUGAUCAUCCCAGCUGCCUUUAAAAUCUAUAACACAUGCUCGUAGCAUAUCUUCAAGUGUUUGAAUGGUGCGCUCUGCUUGUCCAUCCGUCUGAGGGUGAAAAGCUGUACUCAGAUUCACUUGUGUUCCCAAACCCCGUUGGAAAGACUUCCAAAAGUUUGCAGUAAAUUGAGUUCCCCGAUCCGAUAUAAUAGAAGUUGGCACUCCAUGUAAUCGGACUAUUUCUUUAACAUACAGCUUCGAAUAUUCUUCAACUGUGUAAGUGGUCUUAACGGGUAAGAAAUGUGCGGAUUUAGUAAGCCUAUCCACAAUCACCCAUAUAGAAUCAAAUUUUCGAGCUGUACGAGGCAAACCUGUAACAAAAUCCAUGUUGAUCAUGUCCCACUUCCAAAUUGGAAGAUCUAUGCAUUGCAUAUAGCCUCCGGGUUUUUGGUGCUCAACUUUAACUCUUUGACAAUUUGGACAUUCAGCUACAAAUUCUGCAAUGCUCUUCUUCAUGUCAUUCCACCAAUACAUAUCUUUCAAAUCUUGAUACAUUUUGGUUGAUCCUGGAUGAAUGGAAUACCUUGAAAAAUGUGCCUCUGUCAUAAUCUUCUUUCUUAGCCCGUCUAUAUCCGGCACACACAAUCGGUUUUGGCACUGAAGUACUCCUUCUCGCGUAAGCUCAAAUGCCUUGGUCGCACCACUCUGAACGUUCUCCUUAAGCUGUAAUAAAAUAGGGUCUGCAUAUUGCUUCUCUUUCACUUCAGCUACUAAUGAAGAUUCCGCAGCAUUAUGUACGAUAAGCUCUUUAUUCGGAGUUUCAAGAAGGCGAACUCCCAAACUAGCUAAUUGGUGAAGACCUUUAAUCAUCCCUUGCCUUUCUAUAGGCGCCAUCAUAGUCUUAUGACUUAACACAUCAGCUACCACAUUUGCUUUCCUUGGAUGGUACAAGAUAUCAAUAUCGUACUCCUUUAUUAGUUCAAGCCAUCUCCGCUUCCUUAAAUUCAGAUCCUUCUGAUUACAACUAUAUUGCAAGCUCUUAUGGUUAGUAUAUAUAUCAACAUGAACCCCAUAUAAGUAGUGGCGCCAUAUCUUUAAAGCAAAAAUAACUGCUGCCAGCUCAAGAUCGUGUGUAGGAUAAUUUUUCUCAUGUGGCCGCAAUUGUCUAGAAGCAUAUGCUAUUACCUUAUCCUGCUGCAUCAAUACACAUCCUAAACCAAUUCUGGAAGCAUCACAAUACACUGUAUACCCUUCGGUGCCUUCUGGAAGUACCAACACGGGUGUGGAAAUCAACUUGUUCUUUAAAUCUUGAAAACUCUUCUCACAGGCAUCAUUCCAUUGGAAUUUGGAUGCUUUAUGGGUUAGCUUGGUUAAGGGUGUUGAAAUGGAAGAAAAUCCUUCAACAAACCUUCUAUAAUAACUGGCCAACCCGAGAAAACUAUGAAUCUCCGUAAGCGUUAUGGGCUUUGGCCAGUUCUUCAUAGUUUUUAUCUUUUAAGCAUCAAUCUUUAUCCCUUCACUAGAUACAAUAUGACCCAAAAAAUUCCACCGACCUAAACCAAAACUCACAUUUAGAGAACUUUGCAUAAAGAUUACAAUCACAAAGAGUCUGCAAUGCCUGUCGUAAGUGAUUGGCAUGGUCCUCUUCUGAUCUAGAAUAAACUAGAAUAUCAUCUAUAAAAACUAUCACAAAUACAUCCAAGAAUGGCUUAAACACCCUAUUCAUCAAAUCCAUAAAAGCUGCGGGUGCAUUUGUUAGCCCAAAUGACAUAACUAGAAACUCAUAAUGACCAUACCGUGUUCGGAAAGCUGUCUUGGGUAUAUCCUUCUCUUUGACCCUCACUUGGUGGUAACCUGACCUCAAAUCAAUCUUAGAAAAGCACUUGGCGCCCUGUAACUGAUCAAAUAAAUCAUCAAUUCUUGGGAGAGGAUAUUUAUUCUUAAUAGUCACCUUAUUCAAUUGCCGAUAAUCAAUACACAUCCUCAGGGAGCCAUCCUUUUUGCGUACAAAUAACACUGGUGCUCCCCAAGGGGAAAUACUAGGCCUAAUGAACCCCUUUUCUAGCAAAUCUUUCAAUUGCUCUUUCAAUUCUCGUAAUUCUGCUGGGGCCAUUCUAUACGGAGGAAUGGAGAUUGGUUGGGUGCCUGGUAUUACAUCAAUACCAAACUCUACUUCUCGUUCAGGAGGCAAACCUGGAAGAUCUUCAGGAAAUACAUCAGAAAAUUCAUUUACCACCGGAACAGCGUGAAGAGUUGGUGGCUCCGCUUCUGUAUCCCUUACUCUAACUAAAUGAUAUAUAUAUCCCUUGGAAAUCAUUCUUCUCGCCUUAAAAUAAGAAAUAAAUCUACCUCUUGGCACGCUAAUUUCACCUUUCCAUUCAAGGACUGAUUCAUUUGGAAAAUGGAAAUAUACCUUUUUCGUGCAGCAAUCAAUUGUGGCAUAACAAGACGCCAACCAGUCCAUACCCAUUAUAACAUCAAAAUCUACCAUUUCUAACUCCACAAGAUCAGCCAUCGUAUCACGACCACAAACAGUUACUAUGCAGUUUCGAUAAACCCUUCUAGCUAUAAUAGAUCUGGGGAAGCCUCUAAAUUCUGUCGAUCCGCUAGAGCAUACAUAUGAUUUUAAGCCCCGCUAGAACUCGUGGCUCCUCUAUCACCUCUAACACAACCCAUUGGUUGUCCACCCCUUUCUGAAUAAGGUAUCGAUCAUGAUGAUGCAACAAAUGACCUCGUAGUUCAUGCCAUACCCCCUAUGCCCCUUUAUGGGCAUUCUCUCAUCAUAUGCCCCAACAUACUGCACCAAAAGCAAAUAUUGGUCCCCAGCUAACAUGUGCCCAAAUGAUACCUUCCACAUUUAUUGCAUGGCUCUCGAGAAGGUCUCGAUUGGCUCAUAUUCCCUUACCAAUAGUACCCCACUGUCCGCGAACUUUGACUCUCACUUCUGUGCCUAAAUUGAUUUCCUCUGGACCCUUGGAACUGUGGUGGGGCACUAGCUACAGAAUAAGAAGAUAAUAGCCUAGGUGGUCUAGCAGAAAAUUAUGGUCUGAACCCUCCUUGGGAUGCCAUGAACUUCACUAUAGCUCCUAAUUCCUGUGUUCUUCUCCUCUGCCUCUGAUCUUCUAUUUUCUGUGCAAAAGCUUGGAUUCUCGCUAUGUCCAUAUCUUUGUUCAAAGUAGCAAUAGUAUAAUCUCUAACUAGAUAUAGAUCUAGCCUAUCCACAUAUUGAUGAAUUCUGUCAUCCAUAGUAGCUACAACAUUAGGAGCAUAUCUUGACAAGGAAUUAAAUCAGAGACUGUACUCCCUCACGCUCAUAAUCCCCUGACGAAGAUUUAAAAAUUGAUCUGCAUGGGCCUGAUGAAUAUCGAAUAGAAGAUAAUGAUCAAGAAUGCCUCUUUGAACUCUUUCCAAGUAGCUGGGGGUGCAUCAAUACCCCUAUAUCAUUUCCAGUCCUCGUACCAAUAUAUAGCCUCUCCUUUGAAUCUAUACGCUGCUAACUCCACUGUCUCUCUACCCAUUACAUGCAUAAUAUCUAAGGCCCUUUGAAUUUGAUCAAUAAAAUCUUGUGGGUCCUCGUUAAGAUCUGAUCCAGUAAAAGUGGGAAGAUCCAUCUUAAGAAAAUCCUGUGUUCAAAGGCUAGCCGUCCUAUCUAUACUACUAGGACCUGUGGUAGGAAUGGCUUGCCCUUGAGCUCUCCCAGCAACUAUAUGAGUCAAAAUUUGCACUACAUUUCUAAGAUCUUGAUCAGCAACAAUAAUAGGUGGCACUUGGGAUAUAGUUCUCCUCUCCCAUAUUUCUUCUGGAGUGGAAGAAGUUUCUGAUGCAUGCCCAGAGCCUCACUUUGAUUAGUUGGUAUAGUGGGUGACUUACUAGUCCCCUCUCCGGCAGCCAUAUCUACUUGCUUACAGGUAUUCUUACUUCUGGUAACCGGCAUCUUUACUAUAAUAAGAGAAACAAACGGAUUCAGUGGUCAACUAUGGCUUCAUAUACAAUAUAGACUCUAUGGCACGAUCUAAGACAUAAAGAAGAGAGAUAAUUCCUAAAUGUCCAUAGCCUCCUGUUUAUAGAUACGGUGCACGACACACCAAUAAACAAGACUCUACAUAGACACGGCUUUGUAGACUCACUAGGACAAACUUAUCUGAUACCACUUUUAUCACGCCUAAAAUCCUAUAGGGACGGACUGGCACCCGUAAUCGAGGAGGCCCGGGAGAACCAGCUCAUAACCUUAUACUUCCCAAGCAUACCUUUAUAACAACCUGAAAUUCGGACAGCAUCAUGUCACAUAUAAAAGUAAAUAAUCACCUGUAUAAGCUCAAGCACACAUAUAUAUGUAUAUACAAUACUUGGCCGUUGGAGCCAUCACAUCUAUUAACAAAACACCACCUUGACUGUAAAUUAGGUCUACAAAGCCUCUAGACAAUACACAGAGUUUAACUAAGGUCGGGAAACACCCUGUCAUAUAACUUACUUCUAUACAAUACCAAAAGUGACUGGAUAUGACACGGAAAGCCCCGAAGCAAACUGGAGCUAACCAAAAGUAGCUGGAUAUCCUGACUCCUACUUGUGCGGUGUAUGAGUUGAGGUACCUGGGCCUGCAGCAUGAAAUGCAGGUCCCCCAUGGGGGACGUCAGUACGAAAUAUGUACUGAGUAUGUAAAGCUGUAGAUAAUCACAUAUGAUAUAGGAGCUCAAUAGAAAUCAGAAACAAGUGAAUAAAUCGUAAUAGGAGUGGACCACACUUACUAGAACUUGUGACAACCUGUACAUUGUAUUUAUUCAAUCACUUUACCUUCAUUCUUAUCAUCUUUGUAAUCAUUAUUGUACUGUACUAUGACCAUUAGGCUGCCUCCAGUACAUAUCAACUAGGAUCGACCNNNNNNNNNNNNNNNNNNNNNNNNNNNNNNNNNNNNNNNNNNNNNNNNNNNNNNNNNNNNNNNNNNNNNNNNNNNNNNNNNNNNNNNNNNNNNNNNNNNNNNNNNNNNNNNNNNNNNNNNNNNNNNNNNNNNNNNNNNNNNNNNNNNNNNNNNNNNNNNNNNNNNNNNNNNNNNNNNNNNNNNNNNNNNNNNNNNNNNNNNNNNNNNNNNNNNNNNNNNNNNNNNNNNNNNNAAUGAAGUAGGAAUUUAUUGGUAUAUCAAUGAAACGUUUUGGAGUCAUUAAUAGCACAUGGAUCUUGUUUGAGUAACCGGAUACCUUCUGACAUUCAUUAGUGCAAUAAACAUGUAAGAUUUGGAAAACAAGUAAGUAUUGGAAUGUCUUGACAUCUUGUAGGGUGGAAACAAGUUCAUUGGUAACGUAGGACAUCAUACAAAACCAUUAUGGAUCACAUGUUAUUGAAUAACUUUGGAAACUUUCUUAAUAGAACAAUUGUUCACUUUCAUACCAAAGAUAUGGUAUAGAGUAUGCUUUACAUACCUGACUGUCAACCUUCAAUACUAGUCCCAAAUGGACUUCCCGACUUUUUGGAUUACUUAUCUCCAAUGAACAUAUAUAGCAAUCUAGUAUUAGCGACCAAACGUCACAAUUCAAUUAUUUGAAUUCACCAAACUAGUGGUUAAGUAGUAAGCCUUAAUUACACCAUAAAGGGUGUCACUUUAACCCUCUUAUACUCCAAUUACAUUCACAUGCCAUGCAUAUUCAUACAACAUCCUCCAAUAUCAAGUUUGGAUUCAUUUAUCCUUCCAACCAAUCCAUUAAACCAAAUUGAGCCAUAGACAUAAAUAAUCAUCAAUUCAAUAGUAUAUCACCAUAUCCACCUUCCAUAACUCAAUUACCAUAUCCACCUUCCAUAAUUUGAUACAACCAAACCAUACAAAAUAGUCCAUAACCCUAUUUCCAUCACCUUUCAAUAACAUCCAAUACAUAUAAUCCUCUAUCACACAUAAACAUAUGGAAAAGAACAAAGGCAAACAACAUUCAUACCUUAGAAUUCACCUCUUGAUUACGCAAUCCUGUUUGCAUAAAUAAUAGGUGCCAAAAAAAAACGUUCGAAGCUCUUGAGAUGACAAACGCAGUUAUCGGAUUACUUUGGAAUUUCUACGGUUGAAUCAAAAGUAAUUUAAAGGUCAAAUUUGGCUAGGGUUUGUUCUUUCUCAAUGAUUGAUGAUGAAAAUGAGUUUUUGAACUCAUAUACAUAUAUAUAUACACAUACUCCGGUCCAUAAUAUAAUAGGAAAUAACCAAAAUGCCUUUAAAAUUUAAAUAAUGUCAAAUCUGUCCUUUGGUAGACUGUUUUGAUAGGUUAAAGUAGAUCGACCAUAACUCUUUUCUUCGAUAUUGGAUUUGGGUGAAAUUGGUAUCGUUGGAAGAAUAAUUCAAAGGGCUUUCAUUUCAUAUAAACUAGGCCACCCAGUUCGUCCUGUACAAGGAGUUAUGGUUGUUUGAAAUUGACCCUAAAAAUCUGCUUUUUAUAGGCUAAAGUAAAAUGAGUAUAACUCCUUAAUUAGAUGCUGGAUUUGGAUGACACCAAUUGCUUUAAAAAUAAGACUCAAAGAUCUUUCUUUUCAUAGGUCACAGGUCUCCCAUUUUAUUAUAUUAAGGGAGUAAUGAUCGUUCGAAGUUGAUCCAAAAAUUUGGCUGGCCUCAGUAGUUUGUGUGCAGGAAAUUUUCCUGCACAUUUACAAUUCCCAAAUAUCCUAGCCACCGUUUUAUAGUUUCGAACUUGCUCGAUUAUAUCCGAAAACUAUCCGUUUUUAGAAAUCUUUAUAUCGUUGGAAAGCUUAUUCAAUAACCUUCGCAUGGAACCAUCGACGAGCAAAUUCUGGUAUAAAUAAAAUAAAAAAUUAAUUUCAUAUAAAUAAGACCAAUACACGUACUUGAAUACGGGAUGUUACAGUAAGCCACCCUGCCAAUUUUUUACCAAACUUUAUUGGGUCCAUAAUACUUAGGACUUAGUGUCAGAUGUCUCCUUAGUGAGACUGAAGUUUGUUUGUAUGGCUAAAGUUUCAAGUACACCAAAUCUCCUUCUUGUAAUUCCCUCUCACUUUUUUUUUUAUUUCCAUACAUUUUAUCUUAGUUUGAUCUUAGACUAGAUGAUCAUUUAGAACCUACUGAAACUAAAUAUUUGAUCUAGAAUCAAAGAAAGAUAUUAAAUAGCUCUUAUGGUGUGACUUGGAAGAAAGGUUUGCACUGAUUACAUGGUUAUGUCAGUGUAAGGUCCCAUGGGUAGUUAUGGGGAAUCAUAUCCAUAUAAUGUAUGAAAAGGGGUGUUGUGUAAAACUGUGUGCUAGUUUGUAUUAUACUACCACUAAGCUAGGUGUAACUAAGCUACUCACUGUUUGGGAUUACUCAUGAUCAUUGCUCUCAGAUAUCCUUCAAGGCAUUUGUUAAGCCUUUUAGUCUAUCUAUCAGACUCCGGAUGAUAUGUUAUGCUUAUGCAUAAUGUAGUCCCAACACUUUUAAAUAGAUGUUGCCAAAAUAGGCUAGCGAAUAUCUUAUCUCUGUUAGAAUUCAUAGUUUUAGGCAGUCUAUGCAGUUUAUAAAUAUCCUUAAUGAAUAUAUCUGCCACCUAUACUGUAGUAUAAGGGUGUUGUAGAGCUAUGAAAUACCCAUACUUAGUGAACCUAUAAAUAACCACUAAUAUAGUGUCCUUACCUUGAGACUUGGGUAGUCCUUCAAGAAAAUCUAAGCUAAUAUUACUCCAAGUUUGAGUUGGAAUGGCCAAGGAUUGUAAGAGUCUUGGUUGUGCAAUAUUUUCCUUCUUGCACCUUUGACAUAAGUCAUAGAUUGAUAUAAAUUCUUGUACAUUAUUUUUCCUAGAAGUCCAAAAGAAAUACAACUGCAAUCUCUUGAGAGUGCCUUGUUGUCCUGAGUGUCUACCAAUUGCAGAAAAGUGCAUAAUUUGUAACAACUGUUGUCUUAAGAUUGUGGUUUUGGAAAUGUAAACCUUAACCUUGUACCUUAGCACUCCUGAUUGCAUCUUGUUGUCCUGGUAGUUAUCAAGGUAAACUGCUAGAGCAGUUAAAAGCUCUUGAACACUGUCAUAUCCUUUAUAACUUUUCUCUACUUCUCUCCUCCACUCAAGUUGUUGUUAUAUCCUGGGUUUUAUCCUUAGAAAAUUUCCUAAAAUUCUCCUUCCCCGGACCCAAUAUGACUCAUAGGUAUACAUUGUAUACUGGGGUGCGAGUUGUAUGGUCCUGUCAUAUCCUGACUAGUGUUAGUUGGUGGGAUAGUCAAGAUCACUAAAAUAGUUAUAACUUAGGGGUAUGAGUCAUAAUUGGUACGAGUCGUAUCAGGGACUCAUAUGGUGGACAGUGUUUGAUCCUUCUGGUAUUUCAUUCUGCCAUGGAUACGGGUAAUAUGUACGGAUCAUAUGUUGUGGUUAAGACUUGGUUGGAUGGAUCGUAUAUUGGAUAGUGUUUGAUCUAAGAGUUGAGGCUUGGAUACGAGUAGUGGAUACCAACCGUAUUGGAGGCUAUGACUCGAAGGGUCAGUCGUUUCCUUAGGACGAAAUUUUAUGCAACUUAAGUGGGGGUAUUCUGGACAUUUUCCUACUUACCCUAACUAGAAUACACAACUUCUAAUAUACUUAAGAGGUUAUUUACCCUAUAGUUUUAUUCAUUAACACUUAGAAACUAUACCUAAACAUCCAAUAAUUCUUUCAAGAGCUUUUGGGGCAAGGAAGUUAGGGUUUUAACUAAGGGAUUAUUUUGGGGCUAGCUUUGGUGAUUUUUUCCAUCAUCUUUCUUGGUUUAAGGCAUGAUUCUCUUCGCUCAUUGUAAUUUCUACUAAAGGCAUGGUUUAUAUGAUUGAUUCUAUGAUUUUAGAAUUUCAUGAUUUUGGUUUUCAACUAUUAUUUAGGGGGUUUGAUAUUAAAUGCUUGGUUAUGGUUUCCUAUAAUUUUAAUUAUGCUUUUCUAUGCAUUAAUGGUGGUUUUGGAAAAUUGGAUUGCAUGGUAAUGUUUUAAUGGUCUUUGGAAUUGGUUUUGGUUAUAUUAUGCCCCCAAGGUGUUUGAUAAAAUACUUAUAAAGGUAUGGCCACUGUAUUGACUUCUUUUAAUGGAACUAUAACUUGUUUUCAGCUUAUAUAUUAAAGCUUUAGAUGAUUUAAAUGGUUUAUAAAGGUUUAAGGCUAAUUGAUUAUGCUUGUGGGAAACAUGAAAGCCUCCCAAGAGGUUAAUAUGGUAAACAGAAAGCGCACUUGAAAGUCCCCUUAACCUCAGUGGUUUGGCUAUGGAUAUUGCUUGCAAGUAAUGGGUGGUAAGAUGAUACCACUAAUAUCAUCCUGGAUUAAUAAAAUGGUAAAUGGAUUGAUUUGAUUACUUCAAAUGAUUUUAAUUGGGCAUUAAUGGCAGAGUAUGUAGCAAGGCCGUGGAAGGUGGCGGUCCUAGGAAGACUAAAACUGGAAACUCAUAUUUUCCUAUAUGAGGGGUCUUGAUGAACACGUGCAAGUGUCACGUUUUAUAUUGGAGGGAUGUACUAGUAUUCCAUGGGAUAUUUUCUGGUCGUGCAGCUACACGCAUUAGAGACCUUUCAGCAGGGGGAGCUGAACCUAUGUCACCUAUAGGUGGUGAGGACAACCAAGCUACACAGCCUAGGUAAAAGUUUUAAAGGCAUACUAAACUCGGUUCCCUUUUUCGGCACUUAUAUAUAUGUAUGGUUAUAUGCAUUCUGGAUGGUUUUACUUGAUUUUAUAACUAGCAUUAUUUUAUCUUUAUCCUGAGUUUUAAGCUAGCAGUUAUUCGCUAACCCAUUUUUUGGAAGCUGUAUACCCACACUAUGCAGGAACUGGUCGUUCGACUCCUACAUAGUGAUUGACUCAAGGAUAGUAUUUGGACUGAAGUGGUAAGCUUCCAUCCUUUCAGAAGGCAUCAUUUCAUGUUAUGGAUAUUGUUAAACAUUUUAACUUUAUCUUAGAUAUUAGCUUUGGCCAUGGUUGGGAGCAUGUCCCAACCGGAUAUUUUUGUUCUUUUGGUUAGAGGCUUUGUGUUACUUUUGAGGGUUAGUAUGGGUGAUAUCGAUAUUAGUGUCGGCCUUGACAAUAGAAUAAGCUAGGAGGCUGGCAUCAUCGGACAUAUUUUUUUAUUGUUCCAUCGUAUUAUAUUUUGGGAUUGAUUAUCAUAUUAUGUUUUCAUAUCCUUUUUGGUUUGGUUGGUAUGGUUGGAUAGUUUACUUGGUAUGGUUGAACUCGGUUGGGUCAGUCACGGUCAUGACUCUAUCCUAGUUUUUUCAUGAGAUCAAUUGCACAAUCUUGUUUUAUGCUUAAAAUUUAGCAUCUAAGGCUGUAAGAGGUGGUUGAGUUGGGUAAAGGGAGUCGGUCCCCGAUCCUGGUUAGACUUGGGAUGCCUAUUAUGUCUAGGCCUAGGUUCGGGUCAUGAUAAGUUGGUAUCAUAGCUUUAGGUUUAUGUUCAACUGGGAGUCCAUAAAGUCGUUCCAAGUAGAUUCUCUUUUAGGGGUGUGAAGUACACCACACUCAUAAGAGAGAGGCUGCAAGACAUUUAGAAAUAUUUCACUUUCUUGGUAUUCUAUCUUCAAUCUUGAGUUCUCAGACCUGGAAUCUUCUCUAAUUCUUAUUUGUUCAUCUUUCAGAUCAUGCCUCCUAGAUUUGGAACACACUAAAAUUAUUCCGUCCCGUCUGGGGAUAAUGUUGAAGGGGUAUGUCCUACGUCUAGAGUACAUCUUCGAUCUUAGGGUCCUAUUCUUGAUUGUGAUGGAGUUUAUCUUAUCCCUCCUAAUACUUCUCUGGUCCCUCAGAGUAAUGUGAUAAAUGCAGAAUUUUGUCAGUCUAUUCAUGUUAUUGCGCAAAUAGUUGUUGCUCAAGCUUAGUCGGGUGCGGCUAGUGCUUUGUCUACUAAGGCCACAAAGUUUAGUCAAUUUAUGAAGAUCGGGCCUCCUACUUUUACGGGGGUGAAGAUGGAGUAAGACCCAGAAAGCUUCUUGGAUGAAAUAAAGAAGAUAUUGUGGGUUAUGCAGGCUUCUAGUGUAGAGGGAGUUAAAUUUGUGUCUUAUCUGCUCAAGGAUGUCGCUUAUUAGUGGUAUGAGGCAUGGGACAUAUAUAAGGGUUAUAUGGAAGUGGAAGGGUUAUGGGAGGCUUUUUCUAAUGCCUUCAUAGAUUAUUUUUUUCCUUAAGAGUUGAGGGAAGCAAAGAUGGAGGAGUUUGUGAACCUCAUGCAAGGGAGGAUGUCUGUAAGGGAAUAUGCCUUGAAGUUCCAUCAAUUUUUGAGGUAUGCUCCUGAUUUGGUGGAUGAUAUAAGGUCUAGAAUGAGAAAGUUCGCUUUUGGACUGAAUAGAGAUUUGAUUCUGGAGAAAAAGAGUGGCUUGCUAAUUAAAGAUAUGGAUAUCUCGAGGUUGACUGUUCAUAUGUAGCAAGUUGAGGAUGAGAAAAAAAAUCGAGCGGAGUUUGGGGAUAGGUAAGGAAAGCAAAGUAGGCUUUUUAAUAAGGAAGAUGCACCGUCUUAGGGAGGGAGAGAUGGUGGUAAGUGGCAGAAAAAGAAGUGGGGGAGUUCUGGUUCUUUCUCUACUGCCAGUACUUCUUACCCACAACAGUUGGGAGACAGGCGUCAUUAAGGUAGUGACAAUUCUCUGGCACAGGUUGCCCAAUCUCAAGCGAUCAGAGGUCAGUCAGUUUCUUCGUAUCCUCUUUAUCUAUUCUGCGGUCGUAAUCAUUAGUAUUAUUGCGAGAAAGGAAGGGAUAAGUGAUCCUACACCUAGUGGUGUGGCAUCUACUUCUGUUACUACGGAGAUUGUCUGGUUAGUAAAGUCGCUACGGGGGAGAAUAAGAUUUUUGUGGCUUUAUCUUAUGCUCCUGCACCUAGUGGUGUGGCAUCUACUUCUGUUACCACUCCUGGUUUUAGUGUUGGUCGAAAUAGGUUGUAUGCUUUAGCGUCCCAUUAGGAAUCCAAGGCAUCACCUGAUGUUGUUACUAGUACGUUACAGCUUUUCUCUCAUGACGUAUAUUGUUUGCUUGAUCCAGGGUCCACUCUUUCUUAUGUGACUCCAUAUAUGGUUGUGUCUUUUGGUUUUGAUACAUAAAUUAUUUGGAAUCCUUUUUUUGUUUCUACCUGUUAGGAGACUCGGUCAUUGCUGAACGGGUCUAUAGAGUGCGUGUGGUAUCUGCUGGUGACAGGCAGACCUUGGUAGAUCUGUUUGAGCUGGGAAUGGUGGAUUUUAAUGUAAUUUUAGCUAUGGACUGGUUGCAUUCUUGUUAUGUCUCUCUAGACUGUCGGACUCGUAAAAUCAUCUUUAGGUUCCCCAGUGAGCCAAAAAUAGAAUGGGAGGGUCGUUCUUUAGCUCCUAGGGGAAGGUUUAUGUAAUACCCAAUACUUUUCCUAACUUAAAUUUUUUCCAAAAAUGUUAAGGGAUAGAUUCCAAAAUGAAUAAUAUUUUUUUCAUGUGGAAUUUUCCAAUCCCAAUGCGUAGGAAAUUGAAUUAACUUUCCAACGAUAUAAAAUUCGCCUUAUUCCGAUAACCGAGUAAGAAGUUAUGAUGAUUUUAUGUUUCAGUCGUAAAACAUCGUGAUUUGGGACCGUAGCGCAUCACGGAGAAGUGUAAAAUCACAGUUGUCAAAUUCUAGUGAGACUCCGCAAUUCUACCGCAUCGUGGAGGAGUUUCAUUUCACAUUUGUCAAUUUCCAGUAAUCCAACAAGAUGGUGGAGCGUCGCUCCAGUGGUCAAAAUGGCAAAACUAUUGGGCACCUUAGUUACCACUCAUCUUUUUUCAGUGAGCCAUCGAGACUAUGGCGUGUCACGGUGGCCAACCAAAUCGGAAAAAAAUGUUGCAUUUUUCAGUUCCACCUUAAAGUUUAAAAAGGGCAUUUUGGUAAAUCCUCAAGGCUCCAAUUCGUCCAAAACAAGGGAUUAAUCAUAUUCUAAGCACUUUAUGGCCGAAUUCCUCCAUUCUCUCUCAAAGUAAAACCCUAGAGAUCCAAAGCUUCUUCUCCAAAAAAUCAAAAUCCUCCAUAGAUUCUCCAAGAAAACUUCAAAUUAAAGCUUCCAAAGGCAAGAUAAUCAAGAACUCAUCUCCAAGAACACAAUAGGAAAUCCAAGAUUCAAGGUUUUUAUCUAAGAUCAUCAAUUAAGGGUGUGGGAUUUAUGAACAAGGAUCUUUUUCCAUCCGUGUAUCCAGAAAAACAAGCUUUUAUUUAAAAUUCAUAUGAUUUGAAUGAUUAUACAUGAAAUUUAAAUUAGGGUUCAUACUUAUUAUUUCUAUUUGCAAGAUUAUGAGUCUUUGAGAGAUUUUAAAGAUGAAUUGCAUGUCUAUUUUCAUAUUUUCAUGCUUAUUACAGUAAUUUCUAGAUUUUGUGAUGAAUUAUCAUUGUUUUUAUUAUCAAGAAUGAUUAUUAUGAUGUUUUGACAUGAGAUUGUUGCAUGGGUUGUUAUCCCAAAGAUUGAAUAUUAUUGUUUCAAGAAAGAUGAUGCUUUAAGCAUACUAUAAGCUAACUAUUUUAGAUUUACAAUAAAGUUUUGAUAUUUUGAUCCUCAGAUAAGUUUUGAAAUCCACUUUACAGAAUUUUUACAGAUUUUAGAAAGCAACAUAGCUUAAUUUAUAGAUUGAUUCAGAUAAAUGCAUAAUUGGUUUCGUAAUAAACCCUUAUGCUAGUUUUAAAGUGGAUAUCUAACAAGAUGAGCGUAGCAAAUUAAAGAGAGUAGUAUUUAGCACCGAGUUAGAUAUGAUUCCAAGGUCUCAUACCCCAGAAUUACGUACCAUCGUAGAAUUGAUAUUAAAGAGCCCAUAGUGGGCUGAGAUAGUGAUCACUUAAGCUGAGGUUAUACUCUCUGGCAAGAGUAUGACACCUCUCCCCAACGUGAGGUUUCUUUAUUAGGAGGACGAGACGUUGGACUCCAUGUAGCCCGCAUGGUUUAUGUCGGUUAAUAGAACCUCCCUAAUAGAAGAGUUUUACAGAAUAGCUUUGAAAGAAUUUCCUACUAAUAAAGAAAAGCUUUUAGUAAACUAAGUGUAAUACCCCGCAUUUUUGGGCUAGUCUUUGAACCAUCGUUCCUACAUGUAUAAGCUCCAAUCCAAGUGAUUAUCAUGUGUAUACAAGUUUCAUGAUCAUUAUUAUAGUCUAUGAAGUAGUUUAAAGGUGAAAAAUGUUCAUAGUAAUGACUUAGUACAAAGUUAAGCUAAGAUCUUUUGAUUCGUCCAAAAUUUGAUAUUUGAUUCUACAAGGGUUUAUUUCAAACAUGUAUAACUCUUUAUAUACAUGGAAUUUUUCAUCCCAAAACAUAUCAAAUUGUAGAUAAUUGAAUUAGCUUUCCAACAAAACCAAUUUCGCCAAAAUCCGAUACCCGAGCGAAAAGUUAUGACCAUUUUCGUGACUAAGGCAAUAGCAUCGCGCGAUUAGCGUGCGACGCACGUUCUAUCGUACACACCCAAUUUCCAGGAGUUAUUUUUGCAUUUUUUUGGCAAAAAGGUCCUUUCCUUCACCCCUAACUCGUCCAUAACAGAGAAUUGAAGCCUUAGGAAGCAUUAUAUGCCCCUUUAAUCAUAAUUUCUCUCCAAGCCUCUCUCAAGAACAAACUCUCCCAAUCCAAGAAGUCCAUCAAAUUUCUUAAAGAUAGUCAAGAAUUCAAAGUUUUCAAUCCAAGAAACGUAAAAUUCAAGUCAUCAUAAUCAAAAAUCAAGCCAAGAAUUAAGUAUCACAUUCAAGAAUCUCAAGAAAGCAUUAAAGAUCAUCUUCUAGGGUUUCAAAGUCGAGUUUUCUUCAUCAAAUCCAAACUAUUAAGGUAUGUGGGAUUUCAACAAGGGCAAUCCUUUUGUCCUUGUGCCCAAACUUAUUUUAUAUUAUAAAUUACUGAAUUUUUUAUUAUUUUCCAUGAAAUUUAAUUUGGGGUUUAUAUCCAUUGUUGUUAAUUACAAUCUUAUAAGGUUUUCAAUGAUUUAGAAGUGGAAUUGCAUGACUAAUUCCAUAUAUUUAUACAAGUAAUGUGAUUUUCCAGAUUUUUCCAAGUGAGUUUAAGCAUUAUAUUGUGAUUCUUGGUUUCUAUAUUUUGACAUUGUUGAAGUAUUUUCAAGAAGAAUAUUGAGUAUGAUUUUUUGCUAUGAUACUACAUGAGUAUGAAUAAUUCUACACCUACCCCCCCCCCCCCCUCCACAAAUCUCCCCGUCGGUUGCAAAAUUUGUUCUCUCUCUUUGGUCAACUCCGGCGGAUCUCGUCAGUAUCUUCGGCGAAACGAUUUGUAAGUUCCCUCUUUACAUGAAAUUGAAACCCUAAUUUUCCAUUUUGAAGUGGUAAAAAUUAUAUAUUUUCAUUAUCUUGUGGGUUUUCAGCUACUUCUUGACAAUAAGGUAAGGUAAAUUUCAUAAAUAAAGUAACAACAAUGGCUUGAAAUACUCGAAUACCAUUCCUCAAGGCAUUUGGUGGACUAUAUGGCUUGAAAGAUGUAUAUUUUUUUUCUAGCUUUUUAGUGCAACCUUAUUAUUGAACAUGAUGAAGAUGUUAUCCUAGCUGCAAUAGAGGAUUUGCUCAAUACCUUAAUCUACAGGUUUUGUGGCACUGACUUAAUGCAAUUAUUUAUGAAAAAAAGGUUAAGUUGGAGAAAUAUGGAGGAUCAUAUAUACAAUACUAGUUUGGGGUGAGGGUAUAAUUUUUGAUAAUUUUCUCAACCUGGUGCAGUUGCUCACUUUCGACAUUUUUGUAUACGGUCCUUUGUCUUGAGUCGGGGGUCUAUCGGGAACAAACUCUCUACUUCUUCGGAGGUAGUGGUAUGGACUGCGUACAUUUUACCCUCCUCAGGCCCCACUAUGUGGGAAUAUACUGAGUUUGUUGUUGUUGUUGUUGUAUGUUUAUAUUUUCAUGCUUAUUGCUGAAAUUUCCAGAUUUUGAGUUGAUUCAUCAAUAUUUACGUUAUCAAGCAUGAAUCUUUUGGUGUUUUAACAUUAGUUUGAUAUAUGGGUCAUCAACCCCUAUUUAAAAAUUGUUUUCUUGAGAAUGUUGAAAGUUUUUAAAGAUUAUUAUUGAGCAUGAAGUUGAAUAUGAUUAUUGAUGCAUUAAAGUUAUAUAUUUUGAAUCUUAAGUACUAGUAAUGAGUUUAUAAGGAGACUGUGAUCUCAAUGUCUUGUUGACAAGUUUGAUAAGUGCUUUCAAAGCAAAGAUUGAUCUUUUGAUUCCAAGCUAAGAUAGGAAUCCACAUUGUUUAUGAUUUAAAGCAAAGAUGAGUAUAAUUGGUCUUUAUUAUAGACCCUUGUAUUGUUUUAAGGUGGAUUUCCUAAAAUUUCUGAGCAUAAGUAUGGAAGUAGUAUUUAGCACCGAGUUGAAUAUGAUUCCAAGGACUCAUACUCCAUAACUACAUGCCACCGUAGGAUUAAGAUUUAUGGGCCUUAGGCCAAGAUAGUGAUCACUUAAGGUUCUAUUCUGAUGGCAAGGGUAGAAUAGCUCUCCCCAAUGUGGGCAAGACGUUAGACUCUAUGUCAGCUCACAUGGUUUAUGUUGGUUAGAAGAAACUCCCAAAGAUGUACCCCACUCUUGAAAUAGUUUCAGUGAUUCAAAGUAUUGAGAUAAAGAGUUUAUUAUACAAAAUGAGUUUCAGAUUUCAUCUAGCUUACAAGUUUUGAGAAUAAGAGGAGAAUACAUAUUUCAGAGUAAAGUGUAAUGACUCACAAGAUUUAUAUUACAUGAUUUCUUAUUCAUGAUUUAUGAGAUUUAUAUUUCAGAUUUUUAUUCAAGCUAUGUGAGUCAUUUAUGUCAGCAUGCAUUAUUUUAUAAAGAGUAAUGAGAUCGUUUACGUAAAUGCAUACACCCCCAUAUACUCAGUACAUCCUCUAAGUACUAAUUCACAUAUAUGUCUAUGUGCUACAUUGUCUUAGAAUAUAGGUACGAGUUGUAGCACGCAUACCAUGUUCAGGCAGUUGCAGCUUCCAGUUAGCAAGUGAUGAGUCCUUUUGAUCCAAGGGCUCAAGUCAGUUAUACAGUUUGAGAAAUAUGUUAUUUUUUUAUUUAGUCAUAUUGAGUUGGGGUAGUUGGGAGUCAUGACCCGGCUACCUAUAGUCAGUACUAGUAGAGGCUUCAUAGACAGUCAGAAGAAGUUGAUGUAUUCAGUUUUAGUUUUAUUUGUAAAAGCAGAGUUAUAAUUUUAUAAAUUUGAUUUUGUAUUGAUCAAAUUCAUAAAAGAGUUAUUGUUCAUCGAUUUGUACAUAUUUAUACUUUUUAUUCAAUUGCUUAUGAGUUAUAACAGUAGAAGGGUUAGCUUGGGGUCACUUGUAUCCCUAAGCACCAUGUCACAUCUCGGGACCCAUUUUCAGGGCGUUACACUAAGUGUAAAGGCUCACAAUUUUAAUCAGAUUAUGCUUUACAGAAAGAUAAUAGUUACAGAUUUCAGCUUUCAGAUUGCAGAUUUUAGAGUGAGUCCUUUCUACACUCAAACAAUAUGAUUUAAAGAGAGAAUAAAAGUACAGUUUUUAGAACUAAAUGUUAUUACUCGCCAGAUUUAUAAAUUAUGAUUUGCUUCUUAUUAUUAUAGAUUUUAGUAUUUCAUAUAUUCCAGCUUAUAUGAGUCAUUUACAUUUAUCAUGUAUUGUUUUACAAAUUAUAAUGAUGAGAUGAUGUUUUACUUAUGUAUUUCAGUCGUAAAACAUCAUGAUUUGGGCACUUAGCACGUCGCGGAGAGGUGUAAAAUCAUAAUUGUCAAAUUCUAGUAAGACUCUGCGAUUCCACCAGAUCGCAGAGGAGUCCUAUUUCACAUUUGUCAAUUUCUAAUAACCUACCGUGAUGGUAGUGCGUCACACCAGUGGCCAAAAUUGUAAAACUAUAGGGCACCGUAAUAGCUCCGCAUAGCGGAAAAUGCCCAAUUUCACUCGUCCUUUUCCAGUGAGCCACCAUAAUUAUGGCGCAUCACGGUGGCCAACCAAAUUGGAAAAAAUAUUUUAUUUUUCAGUCCCGACUUAGGGUUUAAAAAGCAUAUUUUGGUAAAUCCCUAAGAUCCCAAUUCAUCUAAUACAAGGGAUUAAUCAUAUUCUAAGCUCUUCAUGCACGAAUUCCUACAUUCUCUCUCAAAGCAAAACCCUAGAGCUCCAAAGCUUCUUCUUUAAGAAAUCAAAAUACUCCAUAGAUUCUCUAUGAAAACUUCAAAUUGAGGAUUCCCAAGGCAAGAUAAUCAAGAACUUAUGUAAGACCCCAUAAAAUUUCCUCGUAGUUUGAGCCUUUAGAGCGUGUCAAGUAAAGUGUAAUUCCGGCCCUAAAAGAUUAAGAAGUGACUUCCAAAGUGAUUAGUGUUUAAACCUUGUUGAAUUUUCCUAAAAAUGACAUUUAUCAUGUGGGAAAUUGAAUUAUCUUUCCAAUGAUACCCAUUUCAUCAAAAUCCAACAUCGAACGAGAAAGUUAUGGCCGAAUUACAGAAAGCAAUCUGAACUGCCCAGGUGUGAUAGAGAGGUCCGACGGACCGUCGAGCUAGCAAUGGAAUAUCGACCAAACCGUCGUAGAGGAGGCAGUGAGACCUCAUUCUGGUUAGGUGCGACGGUAAAGCCGAUGGACGUCGAUCCAACGACGGACCAUCGACCCAGCCGUCGUAGGCAAGGCAGAAAGUCCAAAUCUGGCCCAGGUGCGAUGAUCAGGACCGACGGACCAUCGACCCAGCGACGAACCAUCGCAUAUCCCGUUCGGUGAUUUUAAGUUAUUUUUAAAGAGGUCUUUUUUGUCUUUUUCCACUCUUUUAACACUCAGAUAUAUCCAGAACAAAGCUAUGGGCUUCAUUAUUCAUCUAAACAUCUCAAAGAUAGGGUUUCUCCCUCAAGAACAAGAACAAAUUCCUUCUCCAAAAACUGCAAGAUCCCACUAUAUAUUUUAUAAAUGAGUUAAGAUUCAAGGUUCCCAAGUUAAAAGCUUCAAGAACCCUCUCUCAAGAGUAAGAGAAAGAGUCUCAAACAAAGUCUGUUUAUCCAAGUCAUAAUCUAAGGUAUGUGGAGUUUGAACAAGGACACUUCUUUCGUCCUUAUGCCCAAAAGUUAUUUUAAUUAUGAGAACAUAUGAUUUUUUAUGCUUUCUUAUGAAAUUGAAGAUGGGUUUAUACCCUAUGUUGUUAUUCCUUGAGGUUUUAAUAGUUCCAAUAUUCUAGAAAUUGAAAUACAUGAGUAUGUUGAGAUUUUUAGGGAAAAACACUGAAAAUUCCAAAUUUCUAUACGAUUUAUGAAUCUUUAUGACAUUUAGUAUGCAUUUUUGAUAAGUCUUAACUUGAGAUUUGAUUAUGGGUUAUUAAGCCUUACUAGAGAUUUGCAAUUUUAUGCACUUUUGUGCUAUAAGCACCCAUUAAUUAAGUACUUUGAUACUAUUGAGAAAGAUUUGGCCUUUUGGUCAUAAUAGAGUUGAAAUCCGUUGAGUGUGAUAAAGUAAAUAGAAAUAUGUUUUGGUCUUCAUUAUAGACCCUUGAGUUAUUUUUUGGUGAAUUUCCUAAAAGUUUUGAGCUGAAUAUGGGAGUAGUAUUUAGCACCAAGUUGGGUAUGAUUCUAAGGUCUCAUACCCCAUAACUAUGUGCCACCGUAGGUUCAAGAUUUAUGGGCCCAAGGCCAAGAUAGUGAUCACUAAAGAUGAGGUUCUAUUCUGAUGGAAAGAAUAGAAUAGUUCUCCCCAACAUGGGCAAGACAUUGAACUCCAUGUAGCUCACAUGGUUUAUGUUGGUUAGAAGAAACUCACGAGUUCCAAGUCUCCCGAGUCAAAAAGAGUUUUAGAGAUCCCAAGUGUUAAAGUUCCUAAAAGUUCUAAGUCCUUAAGUUUUAAAGAAGUUUCACUCUCCAUGAGAUAAAAGCAUGAGUUUGAAAGUAUUUGUUUAAAGCUUGCUUUAUCCUUCAAGUACUGAGAAUAAGAGAAGAGUAUGGAUUUUAAAGUUAAGUAUAAUGACUCACGAGAUUUGUGUUACAUGCUUCACUAUUCAUAUUUCAUGAGUAUUACAUUUUAGACUUAUUCAAGCUAUGUGAGUCAUUCCUAUUUGCAUGUAUGAUUUUAUUAAAGUGUAUUGAUAUUGUUUUAUGUAAAUGCAUACACCCUCCAUAUACUCAGUACAUUCCCAAAGUGUUGAUCCGCAUAUAUGUCUAUGUGCUACAUUGUCUCAUAAUGUAGAUUCAGGUGCUCAGUCUCAGCAGUGAUCGUGAUUCCCGAGUGCCUUUACUUACAUCCCAUAAUUGGUGAGUCCUCAUGGUUUGAGUACCUAUUUUCUCAGAUUUUCAAUUGUUAUUACUUUUAUAUCAGUUCGAGUCAGUUGGGGGUCUAUCCCAAUGGCUCUCCAGUUUGAGUAGUAGAGGCUUUAUCAGACUAGACUAACAGUUGUGUUUUAGACUUUCAGUAUUUCUUUUUAGACUAUAGUUUCCAGUUAUUUCAAUUUCAAGAUGAUAUAUUAUAGUCGUAUUGCUUGACUUGGUAUCCCAAAUUAAGAGAUAGAGAUAGCAACAGGCUCGAAGGGUUAGAUUGGGGCUACUUAUAGCCUUAAGCGACGUGUGACACUUUGGGAUUAGAUUUUGGGGCGUUACAUACUUGGUAUCAAAGCUUAAGGUUCAAAGAUUCCUAGGGAGUCUGACAAGCCGUGUUAAGUAGAGUCUUGAACAUUGGUGUGUAGCGCGCCACAUCUAUGAGCAAAAGGCUAUAAGACAUUUUAGGAAAAACUUGUUUCUUUCUUUCAGAUUCUAUUGUGCCUACAAUUGGCUCACUCAUCUAAUAAUUCAUACUCUCCUAUUUCAGAAAAUGACUCCCCGAAGAGCGAACACCCACAGAAAAAAUAAUGAGCAACCCCAGCUUGUUGAUCCCUUGAAUGAGACUGUGUCUCAUGCUGAGUUUCAAGUGGCCUUUCAGGUGUUAACCCAAGAAGUCAUCGCCAAUGUUCAGGCUAAUAACCAGGCCAUAGUUCUAAAUUAGCAGGGAGGUAUUUAGCUGCUACUAGGAUUUGUGAUUUUAUGCGGAUGAAUCCGCUAGAGUUUUAUGGGUCUAAGGCAGGUGAGGACCUACAUUUAUACCUUGAGGAGGUGAGGAAUAUUACAUAGGUGAUGUAUGUUUCUAAGGAAAAAAGUGCUGAACUGGUGUCUUACAGGUUGAAAGACAUUGCUUAUGACUGGGUUGUAGUGUUGAGGAAGGGUAGAGGUAAGGAUGCUGCUCCUAUGACUUGGCAGGUGUUCUAAGAUGCAUUCUUGGACAACUUCUUCCCACUUGAGAUGAGGGAAUCAAAGAUUGAGGAGUUUAUGAACAUAAGGAAGGGAUCCAUGACUGUUAAGGAGUACUGCUUAAAGUUCAACCAGUUAGCCAAGUAUGCUCCUGAUUUGAUUAUUGACACCCGAGCUAGUAUGAGCAAGUUCGUGAAAAGUGUUUCUGGUUUGGUACUGAAAGAGUGUAGGACUGUGAUGCUGAAUAAAGAUAUAGAUCUGUCUAGAUUGAUGAUAUAUACACAACAGAUAGAGGCAGACAAGAUAAGGAAGAGAGAUAGAACGAAGGGUAACAAGAGGGCUAAAUUUGAGCAUCAUAAGUAGUGUCAGGUUAAGUACCAUGAAGGGAACUGCCCAUAGUUCUAGAGCCAUUCGUUUAUGCCACUGCCUACAUCAGCUAGUGCUCCCAUGCCUAGAAAUAGGCAGGACUAAGGGAACAGGUCUUCUAUGUCUAGGUUGCAGAACAGUGUAAGUAAUAGACCUUACUAUCUUCCUUGUUCUAAGUGUGCUAAGGACCAUCCCAGUGAGUGCUUAACAGACCACAGGGGUUGUUUUGGUUGUGGUAAGUUGGGCCACAUACUUAGAGAGAGUCCUCAUGCUAGGCAAGGGAACAAAGAUGCCCGACCUCAAAUACCAGCUACUAGUGCACCAGCUCCUAUAGCCUGUCCCACCCAUACUCAGGGCAUUUCAUCCAGUACUGCUGGCGGUCAGUGCUAGAACAGAUUAUAUGCCUUACCAUCCCGUCAAGAGCAGGAGGAGAAGGAUUCUCCUAAUGUUGUUACUGGUACGCUCCGUGUCUUUUGGUUUGAUGUUUUUGUAUUGUUUGACCCCGAGUUAAGUUUCUCUUAUGUGACCUUAUUAGUCGCUAUGAAUUUUGAAAUAAGUCCUAAAAUGAUUCCUGAGCCUUUCCUAGUUUCCACACCAGUAGGGGAGCCAGUUGUUACUAAGUAAGUGUAUAGAAAUUAUCCUGUUACUAUUCUUCAUAGAGUUAUGCUUGCUGAUUUGAUAGAGUUGGACAUGGUGGAUUUUGACCUUAUUCUAGUUAUGGAUUGGCUUCAUUCUUGUUAUGCAUCUAUAGACUAUCAUACCCAUGUUGUCAAGUUUCAGUUUCCUGAUGAACCAAUUUUUGAGUGGUCUGGAAAUUUAGUAUUUCCCAAGAGUCAUUUUAUCUCCCAUCUCAAAGCCAAAAAGCUAAUAUCUAAAAGUUGCAUCUAUCACCUAGUUAGAGCUAAAGAUACUAAGUCUGAGCCUCCAACUAUUCAAUCAGUCAACAUUGUUAAUGAGUUUCUUGAUGUUUUUUUAGAAGAUCUCCCAGGGGUACCUCCCGAUAGAGAGAUAGAAUUGAGGAUUAACCUUCUUCCCGACACUCAGCCUAUUUCUAUUUCUCCCUACCGUAUGGAACCUGUAGAGCUUAAGGAGUUAAAAGAGCAACUCAAAAAUCUUUUAGAUAAAGGUUUCAUAAGGCCCAGUAUCUCUCCUUGGGGUGCACCUAUUUUAUUUAUGCGAAAGAAAGAUGGUUCUUUGCGUAUGUGCAUUGACUGUCAUUAGCUUAAUAAGGUCACAGUCAAAAAUAAGUAUCCUCUUCCUAGAAUUGAUGACCUGUUUGAUCAGUUGCAAGGUGCAAGUUAUUUCUCCAAGAUAGGCCUUAGAUUUGGCUAUCACCAGCUUCACGUAAGGGAGUGUGACAUCCCAAAAAUAGCCUUCCAAACUCGUUAUGGUCACUUAGAGUUUCUAGUCAUGUCUUUCAGGCUAACCAAUGCUCCAGUAGCCUUUAUGGACCUCAUGAAUUAAGUGUUCAAGCAAUAUCUUGAUAUGUUUGUCAUAGUGUUCAUAUAUGAUAUUUUUGUUUACUCCCGUACUGAGAAUGACCAUGUAAAUCAUCUUAGGAUAGUCUUGCAAACUCUUAGAGAUCACCAGUUGUUCACUAAAUUCAACAAGUGUAAAUUUUGGCUAAGAUCAGUAGUCUUUCUAGGUCAUCUCAUUUUAGCUGAAGGCAUUAGAGUUGAUCCCCAAAAGACAGAAGCUGUAAGAAAUUGGACUAGACCUAUCUCUUUAUCUAAUAUUAGGAGUUUCUUGGGUCUAGCUAGCUACCACCGCCGUUUUAUCAAAGGUUUCUCUUCUAUUGCGUCUCCCAUGACUCGGUUGACCCAAAAGAAAGUUAAGUUCCAGUGGUCAGAUUCCUGUGAGAAGAGUUUUAAGAGUUGAAAACUCGACUUACUUCAGCCCUUAUGUUGAAUUUGCCAGAUGGUGCAGAUGGUUUUAUGGUGUAUUGUGAUGCCUCUAGAGUUGGUUUAGGUUGUGUGUUGAUGCAGAGAGGCAAGGUUAUAGCCUAUGCCUCUAGACAGCUGAAGCCGCAUAAAAAAAACUACCCAACCCAUGAUCUUGAAUUAGCUGUUGUGGUCUUUUCUUUGAAAAUAUGGAGACACUAUCUUUAUAGUGUUCAUGUCGAUGUUUUUAUUGAUCAUAAAAGUCUGUAAUAUAUAUUUAAUCAGAGGGAGUUGAAUCUUAGGCAGAGAAGAUGGUUAGAAUUGUUAAAGAACUAUGAUAUGAGUCUAUUGUAUCACUCGAGAAAGGCCAAUGUAGUGGCAGAUUCCCUUAGCAGGUUGUCUGUGGGUAUGUCACUCAUAUAGAGGAAGGUAAGAAAGAUUUAUCUUAUGAUAUGCAUUAUUUCUAGACUGGGUGUUAGGUCCCUUGAUUCAAUUGAGGGGAGUAUUUUGGUGUAGAGUAGUUUCGAAUCCUCUUUAGCUUUGAAAGUAAAGGAGAAGCAAGAUAGGGAUCCUAGUUUAGUCAGACUGAAGGAGUCAGUUAAGGAUCAAAAGGUAGAGGUUUUCUCCCAAGGGGGAGAUAGUGUGUUGAGAUUGUAGGGUAGAUUUUUUGUUUUGUGUGUUGAUGAUCAAAGGCAAAAAAUUAUGGAUGAAGCACAUAAGGCAUGGUAUUUUAUUCAUCCUGGCACUACCAAGAUAUACCGUGACUUGUAGGAAAUCUAUUGGUGGAGUGAUAUGAAGAAGGAUAUAGCCGAGUUUGUAGCAAAAUGUGCAACGUGCGAACAGGUUAAGGUAGAGCACCAAAGACAUGGUGGUGUGAUGUAAGAGUUUGGUAUACCCACUUGGAAGUGGGAAGAGGUGAACAUGGAUUUCGUGACUGGUUUACCUCUUUCGCGUCGUCAUCAUGAUUCUAUUUGGGUGGUUAGGGAUAGGUUGACUAAGUUCAUGCAUUUUUUUCCUAUGCAUACAUCUUAUACAGCUAAUGAUUAUGCUAGGUUGUAUAUCCAAAAGUUAGUCUGGUUGCAUGGAGUUUCCUUGUCCAUAAUCUCAGAUAGGGGUACUCAGUUCACUUCUCAGUUUUGAAGAGCAUUUUAGAAGGGUCUUGGUACCCAAGUUCAUUUGAGUUCUUCUUUUCAUCCACAGAAAGAUGGUUAGGCUGAGAGGACCAUUCAGACUCUAGAAGAUAUGUUGAGGGCAUGUGCACUUGAUUUCAAAGGUAAUUGGGAUAAGCAUUUUCCACUGAUUGAGUUUGCAUAUAACAAUAGUUACCAUGCUACCAUCAAGAUGGCACUAUUUAAGGUUUUGUAUAGUAGAAGAUGUAGAUCACCCAUAGGUUGGUUUGAAGUGGGUGAAGUUGCUUUGGUUAGACCUAAUGUAGUAUUUGAGGCCAUGGAGAAGUUGAAGUUGAUUAGAGAAAGGUUAAAGACAACCCAAGUCGUCAAAAGUCAUACGCUGAUGUAAGAAAAAGGGAUCUUGAGUUUGAGGUGGGUGACUUGGUGUACUUGAAGAUUUCACCCAUGAAAGGGGUGAAGGGGUUUGGCAGAAAAGAGAAGCUUAGUCCCCGUUAUGUUGGCCCUUAUAGAGUCUUGAGUCGUGUUGGGAAAGUAGCCUAUGAAGUUGAGUUGCCUGUAAAAUUGUCAGCUAUUCAUCUUAUUUUUCAUGUCUCCAUACUUAAAAAGCAUAUUGGUGAUCCAUGGUAGUGGAUCCUUCAGAGAGUGCUGAUAUUCAGAACAGUCUUUCAUAUGAUGAGAUUCCUGUUGAGAUUUCAGAUUUUCAGAUCCAUAGAUUGAGGAACAAAGAGGUUCCCUUGGUCAAAGUUUUAUGGAGGAACCAGUCAGUUGAGGGCGCUGCUUGGGAGGCAGAAGCAGACAUGCGAGCCAAGUACCCGCACCUCUUCUCCGUGAGUUCAGAUCAAGUCGAAGGUAUUAUUCUUCCUUAACUCAACCCUACUAAUAUAAAGUUCAGCUAUAUAUCUAUUCUUACAUGAGUUCUUACAAUUUUCGAAGUAUUCAAGAGUUUAGAUAGAUAUGGAGCCCGCUUAGCAAAUUGCUUCAGCUAUGUGUACUCAGUUUUCUCUGUGAUCUUAGUCUAACUAAUGACAUUCGAGGAUGAAUGUUUCCAAGGAGGAGAUAUUUUAAGACCCCACACAAUUUCCUUGUAGUCUGAGCCUUUAGAGCAUGUCAAGUAAAGUGUAAUUCCGACCCUAAAAUAUUAAGGAGUGACAUCCGAAGAGAUUAGUGUUUAAACCUUGAUGAAUUUUCCUAAAAAUGAGUUUUAUCGUGGGAAAUUGAAUUAUCUUUCCAAUGAUACCCAUUUCAACAAAAUCCAACAUUGGACGAGAAAUUUUUGGUCGAAUUACAGAAAGCAGUUUGAACUGCCCAAGUGCGACGGAGAGGUCCAACGGACCAUCGAGCUAGUGACGGACAGUCAACCAAACCAUCGUAGAGAAGGCAGUGAGACCUUAUUUUGAUUAGGCACGAUGGUAAGUCAGACCGACCGUUGAUCCAAUGAUCGACCUUUGACCCAGCCAUCGUAGGCAAGGCAGAAAAUCCAAAUCUGGCCCAGGUACAACGAUUAGGACGGACGGACCAUCGACCCAGCGAUGAACUGUUGUACCCCACCGUCGCAUAUCCCGUUUGGUGAUUUAAGUCAUUUUUAAAGAGGAUUUUUCGGUCUUUUUCCACCCUUUUAACACUCAAAUAUAUCCUGAAUGAUGCUGAGGGCUUUAUUAUUCAUCCAAACAUCUCAAAGCUUGGGUUUCUCCCUCAAAAACAAGAACAAAUUCCUUCUCCAAGAACUGCAAGAUCCUACCAUAGAUUUUAAAAAUUGAGUUAAGAUUCAAGGUUCCCAAGUCAAAGGCAUCAAUAACCGUCUCUCAAGAGUAAGAGAAAGAGUCUUAAACAAGUUUGUUCAUACAAGUCAUAAUCUAAGGUAUGUAGGGUUUGAACAAGGACACGUCUUUCGUCCUUGUGUCCAAAAGUUGUUUUAAUUAUGAGAUCAUAUGAUUUUCUAUGCUUUCUUAUGAAAUUUAAAUAUGGGUUUAUGCCCUAUCUUAUUAUUCCUUGAGGUAUUAAUAGUUCCAAUGUUCUAGAAAUUGAAAUACAUGAGUGAGCAUGUUGAGAUUUUUAGGAAAAAACGCAGAAAAUUCCUGAUUUCUAUACGAUUUAUGAAUCUUUAUGACAUCUAGUAUGCAUUUUUUAUGAGUCUUAACUUGAGAUUUGAUUAUGGAUCAUUAAGCCUUACUUGAGAUUUGCAAUUUUAUGAACUUUUGUGCUAUAAGCACCCAUGAAUUGAGUACUUUGAUACUACUGAGAAAGAUUUGGCCUUUUGGUCAUAAUAGAGUUGAAAUCCAUUGAGUAUGAUUUAAAGUAAAUAGAACUAUGUUUUGGUCUUCAUUAUAGACCCUUGAGUUAUUUUAAGGUGGAUUUCCUAAGAGUUCUAAGCUGAGUAUGGGAAUAGUAUUUAGCACCAAGUUGGGUAUGAUUCUAAGGUCUCAUACCCCAUAACUAUGUGCCACCAUAGGUUCGAGAUUAUGGGCCCAAGGCCAAGAUAGUGAUCACUAAAGAUGAGGUUCUAUUCUGAUCAUAAGGAUAGAAUAGCUCUCCCCAAGUGGGUAAGACGUUGGACUCUAUGUAACUCAAAUGGUUUAUGUCGGUUAGAAGAAACUCCCGAGUUCCAAGUGUCCCGAGUCUAAAAGAGUUUUAGAGUUCCCAAGUGUUGAAGUCCCUAAAAGUUCUAAGUCCUUAAGUUUUAAAGAAGUUUCACUCUCCAUGAGAUAAAAGCAUGAAUUUGAAAGUAUUUGUUUAAAGCUUCCUUUAUCCUUCAAGUACUAAGGAUAAAAGGAGAGUAUGGAUUUUAAAGUUAAGUAUAAUGACUCACGAGAUUUAUGUUGCAUGCUUCACUAUUUAUGAUUCAUGAGUUUUACAUUUUAGACUUAUUCAAGCUCUAUGAGUCAUUCCUAAUUACAUGCAUGAUUAUAUUAAAGAGUAUUGAUAUUGUUUUAUGCAAAUGCAUACACCCCCAUAUACUCAGUACAUUCCCAAAGUGCUAAUCCACAUAUACGUCUAUGUGCUACAUUAUCUCAUAAUGUAGGUUCAGGUGCUCAGUCCCAGUAGUGACUGUGAUUCCCAAGUGCCUUUGCCUACAUCCCACUGUUGGUGAGUCCUCAUGGUUCGAGGACCUAUUUUCUCAGAUUUUCAGUUGUUAUUACUUUCAUAUCAGUUCAAGUCAGUUGGGGGUCUGUCCCAAUGGCUCUCCAGUUUGAGUAGUAGAGGCUUUGUCAUACUAGACUAGCAGUUAUGUUUUAGACUUUCAGUAUUUUUUUUUAGACUAUAUUUUCCAGUUAUUUCAGUUUUGAGAUGAUAUAUUAUAGUCGUAUUUCUUGACUUGAUAUCCCAAAGUAUGAGAUAGAUAUUGUAACAGGCUUGAAGAAUUAGCUUGGGGCUACUUGUAGCCUUAAGCACCGUGUGACACUCCGGGAUGAGAUUUCGGGGCGUACCAACUCAUCUCUAAGAACUCAAUAGGAAAUCCAAGAUUCAAGUUUUUCAUCUAAGAUCAUCAAUCAAGGUAUGUGGGGUUUAUGAACAAGGAUCUUCUUCCAUCCUUGUGCCCAUAUAAAUCAAGCUUUUAUUUAAAACUCAUAUAUUUUGAAUUAUUAUAAAUGAGAUUUAAAUUAGGGUUCAUACUCAUUAUUUUUAUUUGCAAGAUUAUGAGAUUUUGAAAGAUUUUAAAGAGGAAUUGCAAGUCUAUUUUCAUAUUUUCAUGCUUAUUGCAAUAAUUUCCAGAUUCUGUGAUGAAUUAUCAUUGUUUUCAUUAUCAAGCAUGAUUAUUAUGAUGUUUUGACAUGAGAUUGUUGCAUGGGUUGUUACCCCAAAAGAUUGAAUAUUAUUAUUUCAAGAAAGAUGGUGCUUUAAGCAUCCUAUGAGCUGACUAUUUUAGAUUUACAAUUAAGUUUUGACCUUUUGAUCCUCAGAUAAGUUUUGGAAUCCACUUUACAGAAUUUUUACAGAUUACAAAAAGUAAAAUAGCUUCAUUUACAGAUUGAUUCAGAUAAAUGCAUAACUGGUUUCGUAAUAAACCCUUCUGCCAUUUUUAAAGUAGAUUUCCAACAAGAUGAGUGUAGCAAAUUAAAAGGAGUAGUAUUUAGCACUGAGUUGGGUAUGAUUCCAGGGUCUCAUACCCAAGAACUACGUGCCACCUUAGAAUUGAGAUUAAAGAUCCCAUAGUGGGCUGAGAUAGUGAUCACUAAAGCUGAGGUUAUACUCCCUGAAAAGAGUAUGACACCUCUACCCAACCUGAGGUUUCCUCCUUAGGAGGACAAGACAUUGGACUCCAUGUAGCCCACAUAGUUUAUGCCGGUUAAGAGGAACUCCCUAAUAAAAGAGUUUUACAAAAUAUCUUUGAAAGAAUUCCCGACUAUUAAAGAAAAGCUUUUAGCAAACUGAGUGUAAAAGCUCACAGUUUUAAUCAGAUUAUGCUUUAUAGAAAAAUAAUAGUUAUAGAUUUCAGCUUUCAGGUUACAGAUUUAAGAGUGACUCCUUUAUACACUUAGACAUAUGAUUUAAAGAAAGAAUACAAGUACAAAUUUUAGAACUAAAUGUUAUGACUCACUAGAUUUAUAAAGUAUGAUUUUCUUCUUAUUAUUUUAGAUUUCAGUAUUUCUGAUAUUCCAGCUUAUGUGAGUCAUUUACAUUUAGCAUGCAUUAUUUUACAAAUUAUGAUGAUCAUAUGAUGUUUUACUUAUACAUUUUAGUCGUAAAAUACCAUGAUUUGGGCACGUAGCGCGUCGCAGAGAGGUGUAAAAUCACAAUUGUCAAAUUCCAGUAAGACUCCGCGAUUCCACCACUUCGCGAAGGAGUCCUAUUUCACAUUUGUCAAUUUCCAAUAACCUAACGCGAUUGUGAUGCAUCGCACCAGUGGCCAAAAUGGCAAAACUAUAGGGCUCCGCAAUAGCUCUGCGUUGCGGAGAAUGUCCAAUUUCCACUUGGCCUUUUCCAGUGAGCCACCGCAAUUAUGGCACAUCGCGGUGGCCAACCAAAUUGAAAAAAAAUAUUGCAUUUUUUAGUUCCGACUUAGGGUUUAAAAAGGACAUUUUGGUAAAUGUCCAAGACCCCAAUUCAUCCAAAAUAAGGGAUUAAUCAUAUUCUAAGCACUUUAUGCCCGAAUUCCUCCAAUCUCUCUCAAAGCAAAACCCUAGAGCUCCAAAGCUUCUUCUCUAAGUAACCAAAAUUGUCCAUAGAUUCUCCAAGAAAACUUCAAAUUGAGGAUUCUCAAGGCAAGAUAAUCAAGAACUCAUCUCCAAGAACUCAAUAGGAAAUCCAAGAUUCAAAUUUUUCAUCUAAGAUCAUUAAUUAAGGUAUGUGGGGUUUAUGAACAAGGAUCUUCUUCCAUCCUUGUUCCCAAAAACACCAAUAUUUUAUUUAAAUUUCAUAUGACUUUGAAUGAUUAUAUAUGAGAUUUAAAUUAGGGUUCAUACUCAUUAUUUCCAUUUGAAAGAUUAUAAGUUUUUGAGAGAUUUUAAAGAUGAAUUGCAUGUCUAUUUUCGUAUUUUCAUACUUAUUGCAGUAAUUUCUAGAUUUUGUGAUGGAUUAUCAUUGUUUUCAUUAUCAAGAAUGAUUCUUAUGAUGUUUUGACAUGUGAUUGUUGCAUGGGUUGUUACCCCAAAGAUUGAAUAUUAUUAUUUCAAGAAAGAUGAUGCUUUAAGCAUUCUAUAAACUGACUAUUUCUGAUUUACAAUAAAGUUUUGAUCUUUUGAUCCUCAGAUAUGUUUUGGAAUUCACUUUACAGAUUUUUUACAGAUUACAGAAAGUAAAAUAGCUUCAUUUACAAAUUGAUUUAGAUAAAUGCAUAACUGGUUUCGUAUUAAACCCUUAUUCCAUUUUUAAAGUAGAUUUCCAACAAGAUGAGCAUAGCAAAUUAAAGGGAGUAGUAUUUAGCACCGAGUUGGGUAUGAUUCCAAGGUCUCAUACCCUAGAACUAGGUGACACCAUAGAAUUAAGAUUAAAGAGCCCAUAGUGGGUUGAGAUAGUGAUCACUUAAGCUGAGGAUGUACUCCCUGGUAAAAGUAUGACACCUUUACCCAAUGUGAGGUUUCUUCCUUAGGAGGAUGAGAUGUUGAACUCCAUGUAGCUCACAUCAUUUAUGUCGGUUAAGAGAACCUCCCUAAUAGAAGAGUUUUAUAGAAUAGCUUUGAAAGAAUUCUCUUCUAAUAAAGAAAAACUUUUAGCAAACUGAGUAUAAAGGCUCCCAGUUUUACUCAGAUUAUGCUUUAUAGAAAGAUAAUAGUUACAGAUUUCAACUUUCAAAUUACAGAUUUAAGAGUGAGUCCUUUCUACACUUAGACAGUAUGAUUUAAAGAGACAAUACAAGUACAACUUUUUAGAACUAAAUGUUAUGAUUCACUAGAUUUAUAAAGAAUAAUUUGCUUCUUAUUAUUUUAGAUCUCAGUAUUUUCGAUAUUCUGGCUUAUGUAAGUUAUUUACAUUUAGCAUGCAUUGUUUUACAAAUUAUGAUAAUGAGAUGAUAGUUUACUUAUGCAUUUCACCCUCAUAUACUCAGUACAUCCUCAAAGUACUAAUCUACAUAUGUGUCUAUGUGUUACAUUGUCUCAUAAUAUAGGUACAAGUUGUAGCACACACACCAUAUUCCAACAUUGUUUCAUAAUGUAGGUAUAAGUUGUAGCACACAUACCAUAUUCAGUCAGUUUGUAGCUUCUAGUCAGCAGGUGAUGAGUCCUUUUGAUUCAAGAGCUCGAGUCAGUUAUACAGUUUGAGCAAUAUUUUAUUUUUCUUUAUUUAUCGUAUUGAUUUGGGAUAGUGGGGGGUCAUGUCCCGGCUGCCUAUUGUCAAUACUAGUAGAGGAUUCAUAGACAGUAAGUAGAGUUAAUGUAUUUAAUUUAAGUUUGUUUAUAAAAUCAGAGUUGUAAUUAUUUGAAUUUUUUUUGUAUUGAUCAGAGUCAUAAAAGAGUUAUCUUCCCCUCAUUCCAUUCAGAUUUAUGUAGUUUAUCCAGUUGCUUAUGAGAUAUGCCAGUAGAAGGUUAGCUUGGGAUCACUUGUGGCCCUAAGCACCGUGUGACAUUUCGAGAGUUAUUUUUGGUAUGUUAUAGUUUAUUUCUUAUCUUAGAUCUCGGAGGUUAAUAUCUGAGGGUUAUCUUUAUCACUUGGUCCAGGUUAAAGAUUCUAACUAGGAAGGACCUUAUUUACAAUCAGUUCCUAUGGUUAAUGAGUUUCCAGAGGUUUUCCCAGAUGAUCUUCCUAGUAUUCCUCCAAAUAGAAAAAUAAAGUUUUGUAUUAAUUUGCUUUCGGACACUCGUCCAAUAUCUAUUCCUCCGUAUAGAAUGGCUCCGGUUGAGUUGAGGGAACUCAAGGAGCAAUUUAAGGAUCUUCUAGACAAGGGGUUUAUUCAUUCUAGUAUUUCUCCGUGGGGAGCACCGAUGUUGUUUGUGCACAGGAAGGAUGGUUCCCUUCUAUGUGCAUUGACUACAGGUAGUUGAAUAAGGUAAUGGUCAAGAAUAAGUAUCCUCUCCAAAGGAUAGAUGAUCUGUUUGAUCAUUUACAGGGUGUCAAUUUUUUUCUAAGAUAGAUCUUUGGUCUGUGUACCAACAGCUUAAGAUUAGGGAGGUGAAUAUCCCUAAGAUGUCUUUUCAUACUUGGAUGGGCAUUUUAAGUUCCUGGUAAUGUCAUUUGGGUUGAAAAAUACUCCGACGGUAUUUAUAGAUUUGAUGAAUAAGGUGUUUAAGCAAUAUUUGGAUCUCUUCAUAAUUAUGUUUAUUGAUGACAUUUUGGUUUAUUCAAAAAGUGAGGUAGAUCAUGUUAAUCACCUCCGUGUGGUAUUACAGACCUUAAAAGAGCAAUAGUUGUUUACUAAGUUCUCUAAGUAUGAGUUUUUAUUAGACGCGGUGACAUUCUUGGGUAAUAUAAUUUCUAGUGAAGGGAUCAUGUGGAUCCGCAGAAGGUUGCUAUAGUUUAAAGGUAGCCUAGGCCUAUGGCUCCAUCUAAUAUUCGAAGCUUAUUGGGUUUGGCCGGGUAUUAUAGGUGAUUUGUGAAAAGCUUUUCUAUUACAGCCACUCCUCUAACCAGGUUGACUCAGAAAAAGGCUAAGUUUUAUUGGUCAGAUGCUUGUCAAGGAAGUUUUGAAAAGCUGGGGGAUAAGUUGACUUCAACCCCAAUCCUGACUUUAUCAAAGAUGGGCUCAUAGUUUAUUGCGAUGUAUCUCGGGUGUGUCUUGAUUGUGUGUUGAUGCAGCAUGGGAAAGUGAUUGCCUAUACUUCCAGGCAGUUGAAGGUUCAUGAAAAAAAUUAUCCUAGUCAUGAUUUAGAGUUGUUAGAGGUUGUGUUUUCUUUAAAAAUAUGAUGGCGUUAUUUUGAUGGUGUUCACGUGGAUACGUUUUAUAAUCAAAAAAAUUUUCAGUACGUGUUCACUCAGAAAGAGCUUAAUCUCAGGCAUAGAAGAUGGCUUAAGCUUUUCAAAGAUUAUGAUAUGAGUCUUUACUACCACCCAGGUAAGGCUAAUAUGGUUGUUGAUGCUCUUAGCAGGUUAUCCAUGGGGAUUUUAACUCAUGUAGAUGAGGGAAAGCUAGAAUUGGUGAAGGAUAUUCACCGUUUAGCAAAUUUUGGAGUUCAUCUUUCAAACUCUAAGAAUGAUCAUGUGAUAGUUCAAGAAGUGAAUUGAUCGUCUCUUAGUGCAGAGAUUAAGGAGAAGAAAAUUCUGGAUCCUUGAUGAAAAUCAAGAGUGGCGUUGGUGGUAAAAAGGUAAUGGAAUUUGAGAUUGGUGGUGAUGGUACUUUCGAUACAUAAGAAGGUUGUGUGUUCGUGAUAUCGACAGGUUACGGCAAAGAAUUUCAGCUGAGGCUCUUGAAUCAUGCUACGUUGUUCAUCCCAACACAAAAAAGAUGUAUCAUGAUCUCAAGGAGAACUGGCCAAGUGUAUGUGAGUCAACAAGUUAAGGUUAAGCACAUGAGGCCUGGUGGAUUAGAUCAAGAAAUUGAGUUGCCAAAAUGAAAGUGGUAAGUAAUUAAUAUGGAUUUUGUUACCGAUCUUUCUCGGUCUCAAACUAAUUUGAUUCAAUUUGGGUCAUCGUGGAUAGGAUGACAAAGUCUGCUCACUUUUUGCCAGUGAGGACUGCUUUUUCGAUGAAGGAUUAUGUGAAUUUGUACCUUUGAGAGAUCGCGAAGCUGCAUGGGGUACCUAUCUCGAUUGUUUCUGAUCGUGGUAUGUAGUUUAUAUCUCACUUCUGGCUGUCUUUCCAAAAAGGAUUGGGGACUAAGGUUAGUCUGAGUACUAUUUUUCAUUCAUAGUCAGAUGGGCAAGCAGAGAGAACUAUUCAGAUAUUGAAGGAUAUGCUUCGAGCUUGUGUGAUUGACUAUGGUGGCAAUUGGGUUGAGCAUCUGCCUUUGGUAGAGUUUGCUUACAACAAUAGCUAUCAUUCUAGUAUUGGUAUGGCUCCUUUUGAGGCAUUGUAUGGUAGGAGGUGUAGAUCUCCUAUUGGGUGGUUUGAUCUUGGUGAGGCAGAUAUGUUUGGUCCUUAUUUGGUCUAUCAAGCUAUGGAGAAGGUGAAGGUGAUUUGGGAUAGGCUUAAACCUGCCCAAAAUCACCAAAAGUCUUAGGAGAAUGUUACGCAUAAAGAUUUGACGUUUGAGGUCAAGGAUAAGCUAUUCCUAAUGGUAUCUCCAGAGAAGGGAGUGGUGCAGUUUGGCAAGAAGGGGAAACUCAAUCCUUGAUUUAUUAGUCAUUAUGUGAUUUUGCGAAGAGUUGGUAAUAUUGCUUACGAGUUAGAGUUUCCAUCUAUCUUAAGUUUUGCUCAUCCGGUCUUUCAUGUUUUUAUGUUGAGGAAGUGCAUUGGUGAUCCUUCUUCGAGUAUUUCUUUAGAAGGAUUGGAUAUCUUCGAUUCUCUGUCUUAUGAAGAAGUCCCAGGUGAGAUAUUAGAUAGGCAAGUUCAUCAAUUGUGAACCAAAGAUGUGUCUUCGGUUAAAGUUCUGUGGUGGAACCAUAAGGUAGAAGAAGCUACGUGGGAAGCAAAAAAGGACAGGAAGUCCAAGUAACUGCACCUUUUUCUGCUCUUGGGAUUCGUGCGGAAGGUAUGUAUUCUUGACCACAUCUUUAUUUUCUGAGUUUGUUAAAAGAAAGAUUAAUAUCCUUGCCUUUUUGUUUUUGAACUUUGAUGAAGGUUGGGAAUAUUUUUGAUAAUUCAAAUGACUUUGUGUGUGGUUACCCCUACCUUAUUCGUUAUUUAGUGAUGAAUGUUCCUAUUGGGGGAGAAUGUUACAUCCUGUGUUUUGGCCUUAGAAAAUUUCCUAGAAUUCCCGUUCUCCCAACCCAAUACUACUCAUAGAUACGCGCUGUAUGUUGGAGUACGAGUGGUAUGGUCAUGUCAUAUAUUGAUCAGUGUUAGAUAGUGUGAUGGUUUUGAUCACUGGAAUGGUUAUGACUUAGGGGUAUGAGUCAUAGGGCUUGGUAUGGGUCGCAGAGACUCGUAUGGUGGCCAGUAUUUGAUCCUCCUGGUAUUUCCUUCUUCCAGGUAUAUGGUUAAUGGGUAUGGAUCAUAUGUUGUAGUUACGACUUGGUUGGAUGAGUCAUAUAUUGGAUAGUGUUUGAUCCAAGGGUUGAGACUUGGAUAUGAGUGUGGAUACCAACUGUAUAAAAGGGUAUGACUCAUAAGGUUCAGUCGUAUCCUUGGGAUGGGAUUUUGUGCAACUUAAGUAGGGGUAUUCUGGAUAUUUUCCUACAUACCCUAAUUAGGAUCCAUGACUUCUAAUACACUUAAGAGGUUAUUUACCCUAGUAUUCUAUCCAUUAACACUAAGAAACUAUUCCUAAACAUCCAAUAAUUCAUUCAAGAGCUUUUGGGGCAAGGAAGCUAAGGGUUCAACUAAGGGAUUACUUUGGGGAUUACAUUGGUGAUUUUCUUCCGUCAUCUUUCUUGGUUUAAGGUAUGAUUUUCUUCCCUCAUUGUAAUUUCAACUAAAGGCAUGAUUUAUAUUAUUGAUUCUAUGAUUUUACUAUUUCAUGAUUUUGGUUUUCAACUAUUAUUUGGGGGUUUUGAUAUUAAAUGCUUGGUUAUGGUUUUAUAUAUACAUUAAUGGUGGUUUUGUACAGUUGGAUUUCAUGUUAAUUGUUUAAUGGUUUUUGGAAUUGGUUUUGUUUAAAUUAUGCCCCCCAAGGUGUUUGAUAAAAUGCUUAUAAAGGUAUGGUUAUUUUAUUGACUUCUUUUAAUGGAACUAUUGCUUGUUUUCAGCUUAUAUAUUAAAGCUUUAAAUGGUUUACGAAGGUUUAAGGCUAAUUAGUUAUGCUUGUGGGGAUCAUGGAAGUCUUUCAAGAGGUUAAUAUGGUAAAUGAAAAGGGCACUUGAAAUUUCCCUUAACCUUAAUGGUUUGGCUGUGGAUGUUGCUUGCAAAUAAUGGGGUGGUAUGAUGAUACCACUAAUAUCAUCCUGGAUUAAUAAAAUGGCAAAUAGAUUGGUUUGAUUACUUAGAAACAGUUUUAAUUGGACAUUAAUGGCGGGGUGUGUAGCAAGGGCAUGGAAGGUGGUAGUCUUAGGGGGACCAAAAUUGGAAACUCAUAUUUGCCAAUAUGAGGGGUCUUGAUGACCACGUGCGAGUGUUACGUUUUAUAUUAAAGGGAUGUACCAGUCAUCCCAUAGGAUAUUUUUUGGUCGUGUGGCUUCAUACAUUGGGGCCUUUUAGCAGGGAGAGCUAAACUCAUAUCACCCGUGGGUAGUUAGGACGACCAAGAUACACAGUACAGGUAAAGGUUUUAAAGGCAUGCUAAACCCGGUUCCCUUUCCAAGCACUUAUAUAUAUGUAUGGUUGUAUGCAUUAUGGAUGGUUUUACUUGGUUUUAUAACUGGCAUUAUUUAUUAAAUUCAUUAGAGAUUGAAAUUUGGCAAGUGCAUUCGUCAGUCCAAAAGGCAUCUCCUUGAAUUUAAAAUGUCCAUGAUGUGUUCGAAACCCUGUCUUUGAAAUAUCCUCCACCUUCAUCUGUAUCUGGUGAUAACCAGAUCUUAAAUCUAUUUUGAAACACGGAUAUUAUCCUUGCAACAUCCAACAAGUCAUCCACUAUAAGAAUAGGAAAUUUUUCUUUGAUAGUGAUCUUAUUUAGCUCUCUAUAAUGAAUACACAACCUCCAACUUCCAUCACGGGAGAAUAGUAUGAUGAGUGUAUAGUUUGAAUAAUCCCCAUUUGUAACAUUUUUGUAACUUGCUUCUCUAAUGCAUCCUUAUGGUAGUGAUUAUAUCUAUAAGGCCAUAAGAAAACUAGUUUAGCACCAGAAAUAACUAUAAUUGCAUGAUCUUGAGCUUUAACUGGUGGCAAUUAAUAGGUUCUUCAACUACCUUAGUAUAGUCACUUAAAACUUCUUAUACUUCUCGGGGUAUUGUCUCCUUCGAUUCUAUCAUUCCUCCUUUCAUAGUAAAGAGGUGAGUUAGAAAGGCUUGCCCCUUUCUCAAUAUUUUGCCCAUGGAUCUAAUGUAAUGAAACUUGUCAUGUGUCCCCUAUCAAUAUCACUAUAUCGCUCUCUUGUUUGAUCCAUAACUCAUAAUCAAAUGUCACAAGUUUGUGUUCUCUCAUCCAGUUACCACCAAGCACCAUGUCACAACUGCGUAAAUUCAUCAUCCUAAAUUUUUCCUCAAACUCCACAUUACUAGCUUUCCAUUUCACUAUGUAUACACUAUGAUGGCUAUACAUUUUCUGGCCAUUGGCAACUGUUACUCCCAAUGGAGUAUGUACUUGUGACACUACUCCUAGCUCCUUGGAAGUUUAAGUAUCUAAGAAGUUAUGAGUGCUACCAGAGUCUACUAGUAAUACCACUACUCUUUUUAUUUUAUCCAUCCCUUUAGCUUUAAGGUGUUAGGUUCUUAGAUCCCUGACAUUACAUUUAAGCAAAGUUCUUCUUCCUCUGCAACCUAUUAUUGUGUAACCCCUAUUUCUUCUUGUAUCCCUUUAUGUUCUACUACUUCUAUUCCCUCAUCUAUCCCUUCUUAUAUUGUCAUAGUUUUCAGCAUCUUAUCCCUGCAAAUAUGCCUCAAAAAAAGCCUUUCUUCAUAUUUCGAACAAAAACCAGGAAUUUUUCUGUAGUCAGGUUUACUCUCACUCUUGGUUAUAGUAGUUUCUGGCUUUUCAUUAGCAUGACUGAUCCUGUGCAUAUCCUAGUUUGCUAGGAAAAACUAUUGUUCCUUUUUGCACUCCCUUGAAUUUUCUCUCUCUAGCAUUGAUCACCUUCUCCAGUUUCUUGGUUAGUGACACAGUUUGUGCCAUAGUAUAUGGAUCAUGCAUUUUACAAACUUCUCUGCUCUCUUCUUUAAGUCCUCCAAUAAAACACUCAAGUAUGAAAACAUCAAGAACUCUAGAAUUCUUCAUCAACAGUUGGGCUCUUAAAUCUUCAAAUUUCAGUAGAUACGCUUGAACCUAUGAGCAUCUUGAACUCACUGAUCACACUCACUACUAUCAUCAUCAAACCUCUACACCAAAUUUUCACAGAAUUCCUCCCACCUUACCUACUUCUUAGUAGGUGUGUAGGAAAAGUACCAUACCUCAGCAUUCCCUUCUAAAUGCAAUGUGGCCAUCUCUAGUUUCUUGUUAAGGUCUAUCACCUUGUAUAUAUUAAAAUAUCUUUCACAUUUUCUGAUCCAUGCUCUAGGUUCAACUCCACUGUAACUUGGAAAUUGCAGCUUAGGAUAGAACUUCCAGCUUGUCCCUCAUCAUUAUGACCUAGCCCUCUAUCUCCUCCUCCUCUAAGUCUAGGUAGUAGCUUAUUCCCUUGACUACUACCUACGUGUUCUGAGUUGGGAUUCACACCUCGUCUUUCUAACAACCUCAUGAGACCAGCAUGCAUUUCUUCUAUCAUUUGCUUCAGGUCCAACUAUGUCGCACCUAACUCUGUCAUCUUCGAUUCUAGCAUAGCAAACUUAAAUUUAAAUUCUACCUUAUUAGCUUGAACUGUAGCCUUUACCUUCUCCAUUGUUCCUAUGUUUGUUUAGCCCGAGUAGCAUUCACCCCAGUCAUUCUACUACGGGUAUGGUCAAAAUCGUUGCUCUGAUACCACUUUGUAAUGAACUCAAUAUAAAAGAGGCAAACACAAUUUCAAAAAUUCAAGAAAUUCCACUAAAACUGAGGUAUGAAUAGUACUCAAUCGUAAUUACUGAAAUUCAGAAUACUUUAACCGUAAUUCAAACUACAAUUAAAUGAAAAUAUAAUUCGACAAACUCGACUAUAAUUCCAACUCGACUAGUCAGCCAUCAAUGAUUUCAACAAAUUCAACUCAAAUCCAGCACAAUUAAUCUCCAUACCUAAUACAAUAAUCAAAUUGAAGAUCAUAUUGAGUCCAAUUAAUCCUAGAUAAUUUUAAUCUGAGUUGAAUUUCAUAAAAAAUAAAAUUUAGAAAUCAAGAGAGAAGGAAAGAAUGAGAUUAGAUUUAGGACAAUGGAAGAGAAAGGGAAAAGAAAAGAGAGGGAAGAGCACAAGUUGAGUGUAUAUUAAUUUUCACAAUGACCUCUCAUUUUGGAUUGUUUUGUAUAUAUGUGUUCCUUGAACAAAUCUUAACCUUUGAUCUGCAUUUAAUCUCCACCCUUGAUUGCUAACAAACUCAACUUUUAUUAAUUGAGUCCAAACGACUGAGUAUUACUUCAUUAAGUUGAAGUUCUAUAAUUGGAUCAUUACAAUAAGCUUACCAAACAUGACUAAGCCCUAAUCCACUCUAUAACUGGGUCAUUACAAUAAGCUUACCCAACAUGACUAAGCCCAAAUCCAAACUAUUUUUUGUUAUUUAUGGAGCUUUAUCUUUUAUUUUUACAACUUUUUACCAAGUCUACACCUAUUUUAAGAAAUUGUAGAUCUUUCUAGAUAAUUCUUUUCAUGUGAUUUUAGAUAUACCAAAUUUCCCACUCUAAAAUGCACCGAAGAUUAUGUUGUCGGCCUAAUCAUAAUUGAGAAAGUAAGACCAACUUAAGACUAUUAGUAGAGCAUAAUACAUAAAUUAUCAUAAAGUUGAACAAAUACACAUACAAGUUCUUGGUGCAUUUUAAUACUAUUCGUGGUGUAUGUCCAUCUUCAUUGGUAGCACUAUGUGUCAUUAUUCAUAUUAGUUUAUGGUAGAAUGUGACCUUUGAUCUUUUGAUAACUCUGAUAACCUCUAAUGCAUUAUUCCCUCAUAACUCUACCUCUUUAUGCUUGAAACUCUUGUAAACACUACUACAUGAUCUACCCACUUAAUAUCCCACUACUCUCUCAUGUACUAGAUGAGAGAAAUGUUGUAUUACCUAUAUAAGGGUGUUUUCUUCCUUGCGUUGAGAGAGAAAAAGUAGUAUAUGUAAGACAAGAAGUGAAUGAGAAAUAUUAUUUGUGUUCUUAUUUUGAGUUAUUGUAGUGAAAGAGAGAGUUGAGACAAAGAAAAUAUUUCAAAACUCCAACUAUAUUUUUAUUAGUGAAAGAAAGAGUUGAGACAAAGAAAAUAUUCUAUGUCUGCAACUAUAUUCACUACACAAAAGAAAGUAAUUAUAUAUAUAUAUUGAAGGAAGAUAUUCUUUUGGUGGAUCUUUGAACUCUUCAACUAAUCCGGAGUUGCUUGAGUUGCGAAGUUAUUAGGUUGUUGUGUUAUGGAGAGGAUAAGUCAAGAGACAUACUGCAGGAUCGGUGUAGAUUAUACCACAGUGGACUUGAAUCUCCUUUAAGAGAGCGAGAUAUUCGUGCCUUCGCCUAACUUUUAUUUACUAAAUUUUUGUUUAUUUUAUUUUCAACUAUAAUUUAUUGUAAUUGCGGUAUCUUACACCAGCACAAGCCAUACAUGUCAAUUUGUGUGAGACUCCAUGUAGGAUGCGCAUAUUUACUUGUUAAAUUUUAUACAAGUUUAAGUGUUUAAUUGUGCACACCAUAAAUUAGAGGAUAUAGAAGUCAGUUGUGGCCAAAUUAAAAGAUAUAUUUAUGAAGUAUGCCCUCAAUAAAAUUUGCGCCUAAAUUUGAAGAAGGAAAAUCUAAAUAUAAUUUGAAUUACCUGAAAAUCCCUUUAGAGUUAGUUAUAUUGGGAUUUAAACUUUCCGAAGGAAAAUUUUAUGUAAGGAAAGUUUAUACUUAUGGAAAGUCUAAAAGACUUGGUUGUUCGUAUGUCCAAUUAGGAAUUGAAUUCGAGAUUUGCUAUGUAAAGUUUUUCAUGAAAGAUUAAUUAUAGAAUAAACUUUAUCACCUUAUAGAUUAAUUAUAGAAUAAACUUUAUCACCUUAUACAAAUAGAAAAAAAGGUUAUAGGUAAUGCCUAUAUAUAAAGGGUUAUGAAAAAGAGUUUCAUAAUAAUUUUUGUUUAUGAGAAAAACACUUUGUGACGUUGAACGUGUGUGCGUACUACACGACAACAAAAUAUUGUGUCGAGAUUUUUGAGAAAAUUUCAACUCAAUAUUGUUGAUUCAAUUUGUUCGUGAGUUUUAUUGGUUAAGAAGUUAAUAGUAAAGAUCUGUCUCCUGAGGAUAAGCAUAGAGUAUUAGUCUCAGUGUGGAUAAAAUUUUGAACUGCGAAUCUCGUUAGGUUUGUCUUGAAACCUAUUCUUUUCUGACUACAGUUGCUUUUUAUCUUCCGCUACGAACACCAUACCAGUUUUUUCACCAAAAUAAUAAGUGGUUGGCAAUGGCAUGGUAUUUGUAUGAGCUUGAAACCGUCCCUCAUCUGAGGAUAAAUAGUUGAUAAAUGCACAGGGAAAUAGUGUGUGACCGUAAAGUGCUUGGGUGCUUUUGGCAACGUCAAUUACGUUGUUUAAUGAGCUUGUUGCCUCAUUAUUUUCAGAUUCUCUGUAACGAACAUAACUAUGGCCCUGUUUGGUCAUGAAAAUAAUAACUUGCUGGUGUUGGAGUCGUGUUGUGUUUGACCGUGAAAAUAAAUUGGAGUUGUUUUUGAAAUUUUAAAAAAGAAAUAAGAGUGAAUAAAGUGUUUUCGUUUUCCAAAAACAUUUUUCACUAAGGUGAAAUAAUUCUUAUAGUCAAACAUUACUAUUUCACUUUUUUCACUGAAGUGAAAUAAUUUUUUGGAAAAAAAAUGAAUACAAUAUUUGAACAGAUUGCGUCUUUACCACCAAAUGGGUGGUUACAUAAAAUGAGACUAUCACCUCUGUGCUAGAGUCAGCUUACAAUAAUAGUAAAAACAGCAUACCAAGAAAUCCCACUAUAAGUGUAAGGGGAGGGUAUACUGUACCCAAACCUUACCACUACCUUCACGAGAGACUAUUUUUGAAAAACCCUUGGCUAAAGUGCAAUUUGGAGACAUAAUAUCGAAAACAACGACAUACCCAAUGAAAUUUCACAAGUGUAGGAAGAGUAAAGUGUACACAUACCUUACCACUACUCGAGAAGGCAAGUGGCUAUUUUCGAAAGACCCUCAGCUCAAGUGCAACUUGGAGAUACAAUAUCAACAACAUGAUAUUCAGUGAAAUUUCACAAGUGAGGUCUCAAGAAGGUUGAGCAUAUGCAGACCUUACCACUACCGAAAAGGCAAGAGGUUAUUCUCGAAAGACCCCUCGGCUCAAGGGUAACUUGGAGAUACAAUGCCAACAACAAGAUAAUCAUUGAAAUUCCAUAAGCGAGAUCUGGAGAGGAUAGAGCGUAUACAGACCUUACAACCACCUCGGGAGGUAAGAGGCUAUUUCUGAAAGACCCUCGGCUCAAGUGUAAUUUGGAGACACAAUACCGACGACAACAACAUACCCGGUGAAAUCUCACGAGUCUAGGGAGAGUAGAGUGUAUGCAUACCUUACCACUAAGCGAGAAGGCAAGAGGUCAUUUUCAAAGACCCUCGACUCUAGUGCAACUUAAGAUACAAUACCAAUUGCAAAAACAUAUCCCGUGAAAUCUCACAAGUGAGAUCUGGAGAGGGUAGAAGGUGUGCUCCCCUUACCACUACCUCGGGGAGUUAAGAGGCUAUUUUCAAAAGAUUCUCGGCUCAAAUACAAUUUUAGAGAUACAAUAUCAAAAGUAAUAACAUACCCUGUGAGAUUUCACAAGUAGUAUUUAGAAAGGGUAAUGUGCACUGACCUUACCACAAUCUUGGAGAGGUGAGGGGCUAUUUUCAAAAAAUCCUCAACUAAAAUGUAAUUUGGAGAUACAAUACCAACAGCAACAACAUAUCCCAUGAAAGCUCACACGUGAGGUUUAGAGAGGAUAGAGUGUAACUGACCUUACCAUUACCUCGGGAAGGUAAGAGGCUAAUUCCAAUAGUCAGCUCAAAUGCAAUUUGGAGAUACAAUACCAAUACCAACAACAAUAGCAUAUCCCAUGAAAUCUCACAAGUGCACUCUGGGGAGGGCAGAUUGUACGCUGACCUUACUACUACUCUUGGGAGAAAAAGAAUUGUUUCCAAAAGACUCUCGGCUCAAUUGCAGUUUGCAUAUACAACACCAACAUACUCAGCAUAUUCCGACAAGUGAGGUCUAGGGAUGAUAGAAUGUACGAUAAGUGAGGUAGAAUGUACGCAAACCUUACCACUACCUUGUGGGGGUAGAGAAGUUGUUUUCGAACGAAGAUACAAUACCAAAAUACAUUUUCCCGAUGUUCUGUCCACUGCUCCUACUGAUGUUACCUAGCUUGAAUUUUCACGUCUGUCAUUCUCAGUUAAGGAACCACUGGAUUUUGACUGCAAGAUGUUCGAUACAAUGCUGAAGCGGGAUCUUUUUGCAGAAUUUCAUAGUCCUAGUACACCUAUUGGCGAAAUUGCCCAUAAACUUUUUGAUAAAAUUGCUAAAAGAAGCAAAUGUUUUGCAAUGUUGUACAACGUAUAUAGAAAGUGCUCAUUUUUGUAUUCUCUUGAUGGGGUUGCUACAUCUACUAUAAAGCCGUACAUAAUUGAUCAAUUGAGGUAUGUAGAGCUCGAUUGCAAGAGGAUUAUAGAUGCACUACAUCAGAGGACUAACUCAGCACUUGUAGCAAGAAAGAUGGUAGAUGCCUUAGGGUGCUGUAAAUGUGAGCCACCGCGACAAGAAUAUGCACCUUUCAACCCUAUGGCUAUUGUGCCAAUACAACCCUUUGACUAAUGUCACUUAUACUAGUGACCAAUCAUUUGAGAAGAAAAUGAAAGUGGAUAAUCCUCAAUACUAUGGUGGACUAUCAAAGCAGUAAUGCGAUUCAUCUCGGACUUUUGAUUGAAAAAAUUACUCUUUUGAUUGCAUCCAGUAGAAAAGCCUUAUACUAAUAUCCAAUAUACACAUGAGUUUAUGUGCUGGAUGGAUAGUUGAAAGAGUAUAUACAUGUUGUUCUUGGUGGAGUUGUUGAAACCUUUAACAACUGUUUUAUCUAUUUAUGGAAAUCCAAUAUGGGACUGCAUAUCCGCCUUCCUCAAUCAAUACUUUGGGCUGCUGUGGCACAGAUAUAUGGAGUUUAUUGAUCAUUCUCUGCCUGUUCUUUUGGGGUCGUCUGAUGAAGUUGCUAAAGCGAGGGGAUCAUUAGAGACUGCUAAUAAUUUGCUUGGGGACUUCAGAUCUUAUGUCUGUCUGUUUUCUGAUAGUAUGGCACGCCCAACAAUGUUAUCUUUGUUGAUUGAGCUCCUUUCAUCUGAACAAGUAGAACCUGACUUGCCUCUUCUGCUACCUUUUGACUUUUGGGUGUACGAUUGGGGAUUUUACAAGUCCAGUUAAUUUGGAAUUGGUAAUUUCUCAGCCUGAACAAAUACUUGAAUGGACUGGAUGUGCCUCUUAUCUAGAGGGCUGGACGUCGCUUUUGCCUCAACAACAAGCUGAAGGAAAUCCGACCCUUUCUGCGCAGACUGAAGGGAUGUCUAUGUUAUUUUCUGGUACACCUAAAUUUUCUCACCCUGUCCCUGCUGUGAACGAAUUUUUGCAUAAGGAACCAGUUGCUGCUGCAGAUAUUGAGAAAACGCACUAGAAAAGUUGAAAAUUGUCCUCUGCAAUUUGCUACUUAUCCAGACAUGCUUUGGCAUCCAUGUAUUCCACAAUGCAUAAACGAGCUGUUCUUGUAUAGUAUGAAGCACAACACAUCCAUGCUUUUCUCAAUAGCAUCUCCCCGCAACUAAGUGAGGAAGCCAUGCACACGAAGCUCGAUGCCUUUGUGAAUGAGUGUCAUCACAGUGUCAGUAUUCUCUAUGCAUGCUAUUGUACCGAGCCGAUGAGCUCAUUUGGGUUUGUCACGAUAAUGAUUUGUUGCAUAUGGACGAUACAUUGUGGUUUAUGCAAGAAAGCAAUACAACUCAGCUGAAAUAUCUGUUGUACAUCAAAAGCUAGCUCAUGAGGGGAAGAUUGCUCAAGAUCAUAUAAGGAGACCAAGGACCCUUUAACCCACCGAUGUGGGACUCCAACAAUAACUAUAUGUCAAAUUAUAUUUGGGACCCUGGAAAGAUGUCUAUAUGUAGAAGGGUGAAAUAAUCUAUCAGGGCUAUGUUAUGAAGUUGUCUCUUUAUUUCUUAGUUUUUUAGAUCAACUCUGGAACCUCCCUCCCUUCUUCCUUUUUAUUUCUUCUUCUUCCCUUGAAGAUCUGUUACUAGUUUGGAGCAAUUGUAAUGCUUUGAAGAUGAACUCUUAUAUUUGUACUUGUAAUUCCAAUUAUCCACUUCAAUACAAUAUGGCCUCAUUACAUUCUCCAUAAUGUACUCGCUAUUCAAUUGGUCCAAAAGGAUGUUCUUGUUUUUGCAUUGUUCAUGAUUCUUCUUCCAAACUUCCCAAUUAUUUGUUAAAUAUCUUUUUUAUGGAAUUGAUUCUUCCACAUUGCUGCUGAGUUAUCUGAUGAUAGCUGAUGCGAACUUUACAACUUUUCUAUUCUCCAGUCAUGAUCAUCUCAAGCGGCUACAGCAGCAGCAAGCCCAGGAGAUGCAACCACAGAGAGUUGUGGAUCUAGUUAGACGCCUGGAGAAGAGCUUGUUUAAGAGUGCUUCGACAAAGGUUUAUUGCUGUUUCAGUUUUUUUUAUUAUAUUGUAUGACAUAGAAGAUCGCGCCAUAAUGAAAAGUCAUUUCUAUUCAGUUUGUGAAUGAUGCUUCAUCUUUUUCAUGCUUUUAGGAGGAGAAUAUGGAUAUAUCGAGUCUGGAGAAUCGAUUACUUUCCCUGAUUAAACGCUUUCCUCUGAAUAAUCAUAGCCAACAAUUCUCCAACAUUAACUCAUCCGCCUCCAUUGGUACAAUGAUACCAACUCCAGGCAUGCCCCGAAGUUCGAAUUCGUCCCUUAUUGGAACAUCACCUGUCGACAAUUCCGUGACUGCCAGAAGUAAUAUUACAUCCUCUGCAGUUAACUCUGGAGGCUUCUUGCAGACGACCAAUUUCCCCUCUGCCAGUAUGCGUGGUGUUUCAUUUAUUUAAGCUGAUGAUAUUACUUUUCGGCAUUAUAUCUUUCCAAAUUAAUAAGGUAUUUACUUCACUCUGGUGUGACAGAACUCAUCCUUGCAGGCCCCUUGGCAAAUGGAUAUCAACAGUCUACAUCCAAUUUCUCUACAGAGGGACCUUUGGCCAGUCAAUCUGUUGCUAAUAGAACACAGUUGAAACCAAUAAUUUGAGCAGUGUCAUGAACAGAUCUGGUAACGUUACCUUUGAAAAGCAGUAUCUUAAUAUGCAGAGGUGGCUGUUGUUUUUGAUUCAUGCACGUCGAUGUUCUGCUCCUGAAGGAAAAUGUCCUGAAAGUAAUUCCAUACAUGCACAGAAACUAUUGAGGCAUAUGGAAAGAUACAGUAAAUUUGAUUGCCGAUAUCUUUAGUCCCCUGAAACAAAUGUUUUAAUUAAUGAUUAUUGGCAGUGCAAGAAUGUAAACUGUCCCGUUUGCAUUCCUGUCAAGAAAUUUAUGCAGACACAGCAAAAAGUGUUUGCUCGUCCUGGCUAUAUAUCUGAUAUCACAAAUUCCCUCAGUGGUACUUGUAGAAACUUUCAUGCUGUUGAAACUGCUUCUAAGUUGACUGGCAACCUCACUCCAGUGGCAGUUAAAACUUCAGAAAAUUUGCAGCCUUCUGUCACUGAAGUAAAGAUGGAAGCUCUUGCAAAUGCUGUGCAAGUUACUCCUGGAAAUACUGAUAUAGCAAAAGAUAAUUUGGAUGAUACAUACGCCCAAAGGUCUGCUGGUGAUUCUCUUGCAUCAAGUAUUCCAGGUUGUCUUGUGAAGCAGGAAAAUGUUAAUACUGGGAAGGACAUAAAUCAGCCUAAACAGGUAAAUACAUCAGCGCCUUCUGAAAAUGCAACUCGAUCCAAAUCUAGGAAGCCUAAAAUAAAGGGUGUCUCGAUGAUGGAACUUUUUAACCCAGAGCAGGUCUGAGAACACAUUUAAGGUCUGAGACAAUGAUAGGCCAGGUCAGUCAAAUAUAUUUUGAGCAUAAUGUUAUUUCGCUCAUGCUAUACUCUUCUACGUUUGGGAAUUCUGCAGUUUGGUUGUUCAAGGAAUUCUCAAUUAAACGAGUGAUUUUCUUUUCUUUUCUUUUUCUAGAUAAGAACUCAAUAGCCAGUAAGUCAAAAAUAUGGAUGGUUGGUAACCUGCCAUAUAAAGAAGUGGCCUGAGUUGCUUAAAGGAUUAAAUAGAGAACAUGUUUGCAUAAGUUCUUUCUUCUUUUAGCAUUUCUACACCUUGAGCAGGUAUUCUAAAGUUAUGAGGCAUACUGUGACCUGAGAUUUAUAUUGCAAUGAGUUGAAAUGAUUCUUCCAAUGUCAAGAACGUGAGGUAGCUGUCGUAACUGUUGGUCAGAUCAUUCAUAAAUUGUUCUAUGCCCUAGAGGGUGUCGUCUAGUGGUCAAUGAAUCUGGAAUAGGCCAUAGAAGACCGGGGUUCAAAUCCUAGCAAAAGCAAAAAAAAUGCCUUCUCUUUUGCUGUCUAAGGCUUGGGGAUGAAGUUACAUGGUACUUGUACUGGUCGGAGAUAGCAGGUACCCGGUAGGAGAUAGCAGCUACCAUGUUAUGUAGACUUAAUAAAACUGUUAACACUCAUUUCAUUUUCUAUUGAUCUUCAGUGCAUUUAGUUGGACAAGUGACUGAUUUUUGCUUUAUAUGGUCUUCAUUUUGGUGACAUGUUUGGUUUCAUUUCUAAUCUGUAUGAGUAAACUUUUUCCUUUCCUUUCUAUUUUGCUUGACAGAGCAAAGGAAAAGCAGAAAAAAAUAAAGCAACGGAGCAUUCUAUGAGUGAAAAAUCUUGUCAGUUAUGUGCAGCUGAGAAGCCAAGGUUGAAACCUCCAGCCAUAUAUUGUACUCCAUGUGGUGCUCGUAUUAAAAGUAAUAGGACGUAUUACACCAUUGGAGCCGGUGAUACACGACAAUACUGCUGCUUUCGAUGUUAUUAUAAGGCCAGUGGAGACAUCAUCAUUGUUGAUGGAACCACCAUUCCAAAGGCGAGGAUGGAGGAAAAGAGAAAUGGUGAAGAAACUGAAGAAUGGGUUUCUAACUCUUUGCAUUUCAUUUGACAAAUAUAGUAUCUUAUUUACUGUAGAAACGGGAGUUUGGAAACUUAGUGUCGAUGCUUUUUGUCUAUAACUUGUUUCUUUCCUUCUAGUUUUAAUGUUUAUUGGUCUCAUUAUAUAAGAGGUUACUGCUUUGCGCAGUGGGUGCAAUGUGACAAGUGUAAAGCUUGGCAACAUCAGAUUUGCGCUUUAUUUAAUGGUAGAAGGAAUGAUUGUGGGCGAGCUGAGUAUACCUGUCCCUAUUGCUAUAUAGCAGAAGUUGAAAGAGGUGAGUGCAAGCCUUUACCACAAAGUGCUGUUCUUGGAGCAAAAGAUCUGCCUCAAACAAUUCUCAGUGAUCACGUUGAGAAACGAUUAGCUAAUAGUUUGAAGGAGGAACGGGUAAAACGAGCAAAGCGUGAAGGAAAAGUUUAUGAUGAGGUACGUCAGUUGGCUUGAAUAACUUGUUUAUUACUCAAAGAUUACAAAGAUAUAAAUACAUGACGAGUAUAAACUAUGGUAACUAGAUAAUCAAACCCCAGACAUAUAUAUUAAUAUUACACAGCUGUAGUGAUUCUGUAGCACUCUGAUAAGUAAACAACAACAUCAACUAAUACUACACUCAGUUCCAAACAAGUCGAUGAUGAUUAUGUGAAUUCCGUCAGACCAUUUUUGUUAAUCUCAGUCCAAAAUUACAUAAAUAAAAAUAAGUACUAGGAGUUCUCUAUAUUUUUAUAAUGACUCUUUGGUGGGUCAAUAAAAGUCCUAGAAAGCAUGCCUAAACAUUCAAUAAAACUUUAUUACUCUUUCCUUUUUUUUUUAUAAGGUAAAUAAUUUUAUUAGCAAUUGGGGGAAAAACACCUAUCACUUUAUAACAAAUGACUCCUAGAAAGCUCAGGAUCUAAAGUAUACGUACUAACAUGGCUAAAACACAUUCCCAGCUAAUUGAUAUCAUUUUUAUGGAUUUUCUUGUUCCAUUAUGCUCUAUCUUUCUCCAAGUUUGCUUGGAUUCCAAGGAUUGUAUGCCCUUUGCAACUACUUUUCCAUGUGAUUUUACCUAGCUCAUCCUCUUAAACACCUUCACUCGCCAGAGUUUCAGACUGAUUGGUGCAUUUGAAGGUCAAUGCCUGUCACGACCCGAGUCGGGGCCCUAGCCGCGAUGGGCAUCCCGAAUCAUGAAGGCCCGAGAGACCCCUUAGCAUACUAUCAUAAGCAUAAUCCAUACAUAAAUCAAAGUGCGGAAGAUAUAAUAGUAUUCAAUGAAAACUUAUAAUCCGAAAAUGAGUCAACAAGAUAUGACAAUACAACACUUCAAAUACCGUCUACUACCAGUCUACGAAGCCUCUACUGAACUGAAAACACAAGUAUGACUAAACUGGGACAAGGCCCCCGGUCGGACCUUGAACUAAAAUCAAAUGAAAUCAACACAUGGGAGGCCUUCCGAAAUAAGGAAGGCUCACCAACUCCAAAUGUCUGGUAACGAUCUACUAAUUAGCGGGACCACGGGACUAUACCGUAUAACCUGAAAUAUAGGGGGUCAAUACCAAGAGGUACUGGUACGUAGAACAAUUCAAAAACAAAAUAUAUUUUUAUACAACAUAGGUGAGAACAUUUCAUAAAAACAUUUAACAUAAAGUAACUGGAAAACAUGGGCAUAAUUUGAUGAGCUUCAAAACAUUUUUUGUAAUCAUGAAUCAACUCUUUUUCUUACUUUUGAGCUAGAUGGUAUACCCUACAAGUCUAAUACCCACGGGCUAUAUGGGUCCGCCAUUAACUCGUCAGCCAAGCCCCCAAAAUCCAAGUUUGCCGCAAAGAUAGGGUUCCUAUAUACUAGUCUAGUAUACCAGUGCUCAGAGGCAAGUAUACAUUGGCCAUAGCCAAUCAUGUCUUCCGAAUCGGCAAAACUCGGUUCCCAGCAAUAAGCUCUUACACUCAAAUGCCUUCUUCGAGUAACUAUGUAACUAUCUUUAAGCCCAAUUUUAGUCUUUUAAAACGUGCAUCUUUCUCAAAACAUGGUCUGAAGUCUAAAAAGUCUGUAAUAUGAUCUAGUCUGAGUCUGUUAUGGCAUGUGUCUGAAUUGGUAUCGUCAUACCAAGACUUGCAAGUCGUAUAAGCCAUAUAAUAUCAUGUCAUAGUCUUUCCAUUCAAAAACAUGUUAUUGGACCACCAAAACAUUUAAACAUUAUAAUAGGCUUCUUAUGUCAAAACAUGUGAAAACUUAUGCACAUAUUCUCACUUUUUAAUACUUUAACACAUGGUGGUUAAUUCCUUCACAAUAACUCUUGCAAUUCUUUCAAUUAUCACAUUGAACAUUUACAAAUAAGAAAACACUCUCUCUUUAAUUCAUAACUAACAUCAAAUUCGUAAAUGAUAACAAAACAUUUGUCUUAUGCUUUAAAACAUGAAAUUGAAUAACCCAAAACAUGCUAAGUCGAACACAUUCAAAGUUGAGAGGGAAAUUUCAUGAAUCAUGCUCUCAUAUUAAUUCUCGAAAUCAUAUAACGUUUAAACACAUGAAUAUAAUUCAAUCUAUGGAAAACUUCAUGAUAGUCUCUUCAAAAUGGGUUCACAAUGCAUAUUCUUCAAAGUGUUCUCAAAACUAUUCAUAAAUACAUGAUUCCAUAACUUUAAAACUUGUUAAAAUAGUACACCAUGCACAUGAGGUUUUAGGAUAGUCCCACGUUCCUUAAGCUUCUAACUUGAAAGGAAAAAUAUUAUUCUUGAUGCUUUCUUGAAGGUUCUUGAACUUGGGGAACUUGAAUUCUUGAUUUCUUGGGGAAAAAGGAAUUGGAUUUGUGUUCUUGGGGAAAGGGGAUAGCUUUCUUGGGAGGAAAAUUAGAGAAGAAGGGCAAAAUUAUGUGCUACCUGAUGCCCAAGUCAUGAUAUGAAUAAUUGGGUUGAAGGGGAAAAGUGUUGGGUUCAUAGUAAAUGAGAGGUGUGAAUGGAAAAUGGAGAAAACCAAGUGGAAGAGAAAAAUUGAGAUCAUACCAAUAUGGAAAGUGUACUUAAAAAUAGGAAAGCUUACUAAAUUCUCCCACAUUGGUGGGAGAAAGAAGCUUUAAAGUAUUUAUAUUGUGAAACACAUUCCCACAUGGAUAAGUGAGGCAAAGAAUAAGAGAUGCAUCGCGCCGCCGCCAUCGUCGCUCGCUCAGCUUCGAAUUUGGAUUUGGAUUUGGUAAAUGAUCGAUCGAUGAGAUCUAUCUUUUUGGAAAAAUUUUAUUUGAUGAUUCGAAUCUACCAAAACGCAACAGUAUUCUCCAUUUAUGCAUGUAUGCAGCAGCAGAUGCAAUGCUUCAGAAAUUUCGAACUGAUGCUUCUGUAAUUCCGAACAGAACUAAUGCUUUAAAAUAGCUGCACUGUUUUGAAAUGAUGUGUUGUUUCAGAAGGAUGCAAUCCUUCAGCAAAAGGAUACACUAAUUCAUGGAGAAAGAUGAUGUUCAGGGAAAGAUGCAAUCUUUGGAUGAACAGACAUGAAUUUACAAAACAUGUGUAACCUCUGGCAUGAACCAUUGCCUCUUUUCAGAAAAGGCAUGCUUUGGCUUUGGCUUUCCUUGUCUUUCUCUCCUUGUGAUGUUUCAUCUGAUUCACUGUUGGAUUAGCUCCAAGAGGAGCUACUUCAUAGUCCUCCUCUACUGCUUCCCAUAGAUCCAAUGCUUCAAGGUGAAUCAUUAUUCUAAUUGCCCAAGCUUGAUAAUUCUCACCAUUGAAGAUAGGUGGAGUUAGAAAGCUUGUUUCGGAGUUCAUUUUAUAUAAACUAUUUAAGAUAACAGUUUAAACAAAGGUUAUAUAGAAAUAACUUGUGGUCUUAUUCACUCUCUUCUCACAGGUCCCUCAAGAUAGCAAUACUUUGAUACCAAUCUGUUGGAAAGAAAGAACAAAACUUAACCUGCAUAAGAAAAAAAAUAGAACUUGAACUAAGAAGAGAAAGAGCAGAAAAGCUUUGUUAUGUUUUGUUGCUUAUUGAAAUGAUCACAGCCUUAUUUAUACAUAAAAUCAUAACUGAAAAAGCUUAAUUAAAGGAGUAAAAUAAGUUAUCAUAUCUCUAACAUUAUUGCCUAAAGAUCAGCAACUGUUAUAAAAUCAGAUUCUGCAUGAUUGCAGCCUAAACUUAAUCCAACUUUAAAGCUGUAAGCUGAAUUUCAGCAGCUGGUACAGCUAAUCUCCAGCUUUUGAGGCACUAAUCUUAACACCCUGCAAUAACAUCCUCUCUGGCAGCGCAUCUGAUUCACGCAUUGAGAAUGUGAUAAGUUCUCAUCCAACUUAGCUUUUGAUUCUUGGGGUGCAUUUAGCGAUUUUGACCCAAGCCCACCUUUUCUCGAGCAAUUUCGGCAACUAGAUUUACAGAUCUGGCCCUUCUUGUUCAAUUUCGGGCAACCUUCUCAGUUAUAUUUUGUGAUUAUUUGGUUAGUACUGUCUUCAAUUUAAUCAUGCCUGUCAUAUUCAAUACUUUUAGUUCCCAAACUAUGGAAGCUGGAUAUUCAGGUGUUAUGAUUGAAACAAAAGAGAGACGAACAUUGAAAAAAUCAAUAAAGCACAGAUAAACCAGUUGAUAAAGAAAGAACAUAAACAUUCAAAAAAAAUCAAGCUUAAGAUUUAAAAAAAAAAGUAACAGAUCAACCACACUGGCAGGAGUAACCGGUAAAAUUGUUGCCAUGUGACUAGGAGCUUGCAGGUUCACACCUUUGAAAUAGCCUCUAGCAGAAAUGCAAGGUAAGGCUACGUAUGAUACACCCUUGUGGUGGGGCCCUUCCGAGACACUGCGUAUAGUGGGAGCUUUAGUGCACCGGACUGCCCUUUUUUUAUCAACCACACUGGAAAUAGAAAAAGAUGAACUUUGAAAAGAUUCUGCAAAGUACAGAGUUGUAUAAUCGUACCAUGUUAGAGCAAAGAAGAUUUAACAGAUUCAAUGAUACUGCAACUUGUUCCACCAAAAUAACCAAGUGCAUCCACGGAUAUGUCUUUGGCCUAUAGUAAUCCAUGGAUUUCUGCCAAUUCCUCUCAGCUAAAGAAGCAUAUUGCUUUACUCUAUGAAGAAACCUAUUUCCGCCCUUGGAAGAACAUUUUUCUUCUGAUCUUGCUCUAAAAAUUUCAAGCAGCAAUACCUUAGGUAGCAAGCCAACUCAAAGUAUGCAAAUGCAGUUUCCUAUUUCCAUAACUCACCUAGUGACCCAAAGACAGAUAAAGCCUCUCUAAUGGCAUUAUUAGCUAAAUCUCAUGCUUUCUACGGCCUACCUUAGAUCUGCUGAAAGAAUCCUAUUUACGUCAUUUCUCAAGUAGCAUAAAUGCAAAUCUGAUUCUUCAAUAACCUUGUUUACAAUUAUUUUUGCUGACCCAUAGAACCUAAGAGAUUCUCUGCAUUCUAUCUUGGCAGCCUGGAGAACUUGCAUGUAUGCAUUGUGGAGGAUUCCAUGUUCCUUGAGAUUUUCAAUCUUUGCUACCGUCUCUUCUGCUAGGGCUUUCCUGCCAUGACCUAAAUUCAAGUGUAUCAACAUAAUGUUAGUAUGGUCAGCUACUUCCUUAAAUGCAUCUAUUGCAUCAGCGAAAGCAACUUCAGCUUCAUCCAGCUCCUUCCUUUCCAGCCUCUUACGGCCUAAUUCAUUACACACCCAUCCUUUUCUUUUGAUUAAGAUUGCAAGUCUUCUGAAGUAGUAAGAUGUCCAACUAUUUCAUUUCUAGCUUCAUCAUAACAGUUUAAAGCAAUCGAGAGAUUGGAAUCAGCAUCUCCAGUUAUAGUACCUCUAAGAUACUUAAAUAUACCCCCACUUUUCCUUUCAGUUUCUUUCUUUAAAGUUUUAGAAAAUUUAUACGCUGAAGUUCCUUCCAUUUUCACUCCCACAUCAUCUCUAUCAGAGUCGGUAGCUCCUGAAUUUUUUGCCUCUGAAAUAUCUGUCAAUUGAUUAGAGAUUUCCAUUCUGGCAAUAUUUUUCUUAUGCAUCAAGUGCUUACUCUCUAAUGUGCUGCUUUUGCCCUUCUGAUGAAUUAUCCACAAAACAUGCAGAAUGUACAUGGGUGUUUACUUUGGUAUGUGAUUUUUUGUUCUGUUUUCUGCCAUAAUUUUUUGAAAGUGAAUCUCUACUACUACUGCUAGCAUUGCUUCUACUGCUGGCUCUAUCACUCUAGCAGCUGCAGUCCAAUAAGGAACAUGAGCUGCCGUUUUGACUAGACUGUCCAAGCUUCUUCUUGAGCCUUUCAGAACUCUUAAUGAAAAGUUCAAACGAUUUAGCUUGGGCUUCCUCGGUUGAGUUAGGGUGCAAGGGUCAAGUUAUUCAAGAUUACUUAACCAAGAAGACUAGUGAGGUAGAUGGAAAGUCUCAAACAAAGUGAGAGAAGGUUGUGUAUCGACCUGAUUUGCUGAACCNNNNNNNNNNNNNNNNNNNNNNNNNNNNNNNNNNNNNNNNNNNNNNNNNNNNNNNNNNNNNNNNNNNNNNNNNNNNNNNNNNNNNNNNNNNNNNNNNNNNNNNNNNNNNNNNNNNNNNNNNNNNNNNNNNNNNNAAUAAAGUGUCUGACAAAACAUAACAUCUAUAUGGGUGACAAAUACCCAAAAAUACUGAAGUCUGAAUCAAAUCUGAACUAAAUCUGAAAGUCUCUAAAUACUGUCUAAAAUAAGGGGUUGAAGGAACAUGCCUCCAACUAACUUCGUCUAACAAAACUGAACUGAAAUAAUGAAUGAAAUAAAAUAAUAUCGUCCUCGGAUGGAUGAGGACUUACUGCCACUCUGCGUACUGGAAUGUUACUGCUACUGCUGAUCUGGAACUCCUAACUCUGAACCUAUGGUGUAACAUAAAAGAAAGAACCAUAGCGCAAAUGCGUCAGUACAACUGAAAGUACUAAGUAUACGAGUGGGGUAGGCUAAAUGCAAAAGGGUUUACAUACAUGAGCAAUGCUGACUGACUGACUAAUAUGAACGUGAGAGUGCAAGCAUGCAUACAUAGUAACUGAGAUCGUGAAUACGUGAUAUCUGGAUCUGUACACUAAUACAUGGUUUACUGAUAUCCAACGUGACUGAUACUGGAGUUCUGAAUACAUGGAUGACUGUGUCUGAUAGUCCUCAAUCUGAGGGAACUACCUGAGUUCUAUACUAUAACUGAAUUAACUAUAUCUGGCAGUCCUGAUAUCUUAGAGAACUAUCUGAGUCCUUUUACUGAGACUAAUACUAAAAUUAUGGGAGGUAGUUGUUUAACCGACAUGCCUCAAUAACACAUAUAGCUAAGUUGGGGUCCAAUCUCUGCCCCAACUAGAGGGGUGUCAAUACCGCGCCACUGGUAAGGACAACUGUGAGUGACCCUUAGCUGGCAGAUACUCAAAUGAGAACGGUGGGAACCUUAAACUGAUAGGUUAAGCCACCUCAUCAACCCUACUCUGGCAGGUUAAGAUGUCUCAACCUACACUGGCUAUGUAGUUUUGGAACACAAGGAUGACUACUAAGAAUCACACCCUAAACUGCCAGGUGAAUUCCCAUCCUUGGGUUCACUCGGUGCUAACUUUCACUCCCAUCUGAAGAAACUGAAUCAUGAUUUAACUGGUUGUACAUGGACUAAGUAACUGACUUUCGUUGACUGAUGGAAUAGUACUACUAUCUGAGAAUUUAUUGAGAUCAUGAGAUUUCUGAGAUUUCCUGAGUCACAUGACUGACUAAGUUCUAUAGAUCAUGGCUUGACUGAGAUUAUCAUGAUAACGUGACAUGGCUCUAGGCACACAACUAUAUUUUUCGGGUACAAGUACCCCCAAGACUCGAUGGAAGGAAACUGACAUACAUAACUGACUUGAUCAUAAAAAAAAAUGGAGUCCACAAUUUACCAUAUCAUAAGUAGGGGAUUUCACACUAAGCAUAGUUCUCAACAUCUUACAUAUGGAAGGGAAAUUCAUACAACAUGUGUACACUUGCAUAGCUUCAAUAUCAUGCUCAAUCCAUAUCACAACAAUGAUGCAUAUCAAUCACGUAGAAUUCAUGUGAAAUCAUAAAGCAUAGAGCAUGGACUUGUCAUUUAAGCUCUAUUAAAGCAUGGGACACGAAUCUUAUCACCUUAAGCAUUUUAUCCAACACUUUGCAUGCAUUCUUUUAGCUUAGGUGUGUUUUCAUGAAUUUCCCCAUUUUAAACCACAUAAAGUUCAUGAAUUUCAACUAACGACACAUAUACUUCGUGAAAACACCUUUAGAUAUCAUCUUGAAACUUAAACAACAAUCAUCAACAUGUACAUGGUCAUAUCGCAAUAAGACAAUCACAAAAUAAUAUUUAAAACAUGGUUCUUGAGCUCUAUGAAUGAAAUGGAUCCAUAGAUGAAUACUAUGCAUACCUUAGAUGGAAGAUCCGUGAAAAUUUAUGGUGAAAUCCUUUGAAUCUUGAAGCUCCUAUGAAAACCCUAUGGGGUUCUUGAGAGAAUUUUGAGAAAAGAGAGUAUAAUAGGGUUGGAUUGGGUCUAAAUUCCGUGUUUAUGGAAUAUAUAGGGGUGGAAAGAUGAUAGAUAAUGUGCCUCGUUAAAACCUUACUAGAAAAAAUCCAGUAGGAAAAAAAAUCUAGUGAAGAAAAAAAAGUACACAUCUCUAACAAUACGCAUAUAGGCAUCAUUAAAAAUCUUACAAGGAAAACGUAGUAGGACAAAAUCUCAUAAGGGAAAAAGAGUACAACGCGUAUUAACUCCCCCUAAUGAGAACAUACUUGAGCCUUUGCAUCCCGAUCUUGUGCAUCAUCUUCUUGAAAGUUGUAGUUGGAAGAAACUUGGUGAAUAAAUCAGCCAUGUUAUCACUUGAAUGAACCUGUUGCACGUUAAUAUCACCAUUUCUUUUGUAGCUCAUGUGUAUAGAAAAGCUUUGAUGAAGUGUGUUUCAUUCUAUCUCCUUUAAUGAAUCCUCCAUUAAGAUGUGCUAUGCAUGUUGCAUUACCUCCGUAUAAAAUUAUGGGUAGAUUGUCAUAUUCCAUACCACAUUUUUCUCGAAUGAGAUGUAUCAUGGACCUCAACCAUACACAUUCUCGGCUUGCUUCAUGAAUAACUAUUAUCUCAUCAUGAUUCAAUGAAGUAGCUAUGAUAGACUGCUUUGUAUAUCUCCAAGAUAUUGCAGUACCAUCAUAAUUGAACACAUAGCCUAUUUGAGACCGAGCUUUAUAUAGGUCAAAUAAGUACCCAAAAUCAGCAUAACCAAUAAGAUCGGCACUACAAUCUUUAGAGUAAAAUAAGCCCAUAUGUUUGAUCUCAUUUUGAUGUCUCCUAGUAGGAGCAAAACUACACCUUGCUAACAAAUUGACCGAAAAAAGGCUAUGUCAUACCUUGUAGUAUUUGCAAGAUACAUUAGUGCACCAAUUGGACUAAGAUAUGGUACUUCAUAACCAGGGAAUUCCUCAUUCUUUGCUUGAGGUUGAAAUGGAUCCUUAUUCAAUUUUACAUGUUUCUCAUUUAAGCAAAUACUCUAUUGCUUUUGAAGACUCUCCAAGAAUUCCAAUGAUACUGAAAUCAUCAAAUUAUAUCUUAUGAGGAUAAUAAAAAGUUUCCCAGAAACUUUAUAUGCUUCAGGCAUUUUGAAUCCUUUAGGGAUUUUCAUAUGGAUGUUUGUCAAGUAACAAUAUUCAACAUGUCAAGUGUGACAUCUUCAAGUGUAUGGACUGCAAAUCAAAUAAUUUUUACGCUUACCAAAAUGCAUCCUUUCAGGUCACUUGAUAAAUGUUUCUACGUCAGCAUGCUUAAAUUAACGUAGAAUUCAGAUCCUCAUAAUCUUUUACAUUAUUGCGCCAAUAUUGUAUCAAAGAUAUCCUCGACGAUUUCUUAUUUUGUAUCAUUUCACAAUGCGACAUAACAUUUUGAGAUCUCAUCACUUCAUUAUUUUCAGGUACCUAAACCUCUCAUAAAGUUUCAUGAAGUGUUAUGGCGUAGGCUCUUCAAGAGCACGUUGCCUUUUUAUCGUGAUUAUUUGCUCCUUGUCCUUUUCAAGGAUUAUUUCAUUUGGAACCGAUUGGUCUAUCAUGCUUCACGCAUGCAUAGACUUUAUCCUUUAAGGACACAAAAUAGGAGCACUUGCCGCUUAAUAUGAGAUACUUUCGGCAUUUGACUUGAAUUAUCUUUUGAAUGAGAAUCUGAUGAUAAUUCCUAACAUAUUUCAUAGCUUUUUAUAAUCUCCCUCUUAUGUUAGGAAAGCUAACAUACAUCCUUCAUUUUCUUUGAUGGAUCCAUCUUUAUGCAUCAUGGUACAUUCAUUAAUCGAACACCGCACAUCAAAACUAUUAGAUGGAAUAGUUGGUUCCCGAUCUUGAACCAAUUGAGAGAAAAAAAAUAAUCAUAAUUUAUUGGUCUAAUGCAUACAAGUGCUAUUGUAUGCAACAUAGCAUAUUUCAUACCAAGACAUGAAACUUUGUUCUCAUUAGUAAUGAUUCAGCUAUUUAUGAAAGGCAUUCAAUGCUAAACCAUCAUUAUCAAGAUGAAUUAUCUCGAUUACACAAUCUGAAAAUUAUGCUUAAUUUAUAUUGAACAAGUAACUUUAUGAAUGUCAAACGUAGGUUGACCAUGAUGUACAUGUGAUCAUCUUAUUGAUGCAUCUUUUCAACAUAUCACAUGAUAGGUGAACGAGCCCCCUUAUUCACCUUUUAUUCUUUUCAGAUUUUGAGGGAUCCAAUCCCAAAAUUAGUUGGUCCAACCAACUUAUCAUGAGAACAAGCAACAUUAAAGUUCAUCAAGAAUUUUCUAAUUCUUCAAUAUAUGUUCAAUAUUCAGUAUGCACAUCUUCGGAAUAUCGCAAUCGUUUAUGUCAACUUAUGAACUUUUAAUCUAGUAAACUCCAAGUUUAUUAUGAUAUGUGUUUUUGCUUUAGUAAAUUUUAGAUUUUUCUAUUAUAUGAAUAAAUUUCAGAUUUACUACUUCAGAAGUAGAUUUCAAAAUAACUCAUCUCAGCUAUUUUGCCUCUUUCGAAGGUGAGUUGUCAUACCAUCACAAUCAAGUACACGUUUAUAUUAAUAAGCUUCACUAAAUAUUAUCACUAGAAAAUCUAUAUUUAUUUACGUAUAUUAAUGUUGAACCACAUGAAACAAGGCACUUAAAUAGCCCAGUGGUGUUAUUUGCUCUUCUUAGGCGCUUCCUUCAGCCUACUGCGCGGGUUUAAUUUUUUAAUUAAUAAAAAGCUAGUUGCUGCUAUAGAAAUAAAUUAAAAAUUUAUAAUAAUAAUAAUAAUUAAAAAAAACACGACGCCUUUUUAACAAAAAGCAAAACUUUGACAGUGCACAAAUAUGACCUUUAACUAUUCAAAACUGCACAAAUAUGACCUCCCUCCAAGUCAGCCCUUUUAACGACGUGGCACCGUGUGAUUGGAUUACCUUUCCACGUAGGCGCAAGUGAAACUUACGCAUGGGGUUGCAAAAUUGGAGGUCAUAUUUGUUCAGAUUUUGAAUAGUUAAAGGUCCUAUUUGUGCACUAUCAAAGUUUAAGGUCAAAGUUAUAAUUUUGUGUCAAGUUUAGGGUCAUAUUUAUGUAUUAUCUCUACUUUUAAACUUGAAAUUAGGUUCUUGGACUCCAUAGGUGAAAGGGCUCAUGGAUGAAUAUCCAACAUACCUCAAAAGCUUAAAUCUUAAAGGAGAAUAACUUUUCUUGAAGGUUCUUGAAUGAUGACGCUUGGAUUCUUGAGUUUUCUUGAAGAAAUGGCUUGAAUCUUGUUCGUGGGGAAUGAUCAUCAUAGCAACCCUAAUUUUGAUGUUGAGGAUGAAUAAGGAGUUAUAUUGUUUAAGUUGAUGGAAUUUGGGGUUAAAAGGGUGGGAAAAAAGACCCAAAAAUCUCAUUUAAAACGUCAUUCGUCGCUAAAUAGGCUUGGUUGAUGGUUUUGAGUGAUGGACCGUCACUCUGGUGACUGGCCGUCACUUAAUCCGUUAGUUUAUGGCCAGAAAACGGCCUCUUUGCCUGAGGUUGACAGCUUGGCUUGACAGUCCAUCAACCUAGUCGUUGCACCUCGGCAGUCGGACAGCUCUUUGAUAAAACGGGCAUAACUUUUUAUCCCGAUAUUAGAUUAAGGCAAAAUUGGUAUCUUGGAAAGCUAACUCAAUUGUCUAUCUGUUGGUUGGUCAUUAGCUUAACAACUCUUAGUAAUACGAAAUAUAUGCUCAUUUGAAGUUGACUAUAGCAACAUCCUUCUCAAGAACUCAAUCGGUAAGGAGUAUUUUGAUUCGUCCAAUAGAUAGGACUUAUUUGAGGCCUUAAUAUACGCCAAACUCACUCAUUAAAUAGCCAAAGCACUAUAAUUUAUUUCUCAUGAGUUUGAAGUAUGGUUCUUAUAUUGGUUUGGAUUCUCGGGGUAUUACAGACUAAGUCCCCAACACUUAGCGAAGAUUUCAAGCCUUAAGCCCCUUAAGUAUGCAACUAAGAGAACAAUCGAGCUAAGAAUAGUAUGGGGUAUUACAAUUAAUGUCCAUUGAAGAUAUUGUUUAAAGUUUUAUUUACAAGAGGUUACUAAAUGAUGAUUCUCUUUAAGGUACAAAAUUGUGGCAUUCUUCCCGUGGCUACAGAUAUCUAGAAUAGGCUCAUCAGUGUUUUUGAUUUGAAGUGAACUAUGUCAUUCAUAGUUAGAGAGGCCUACGCGAGCUGGAACUCAAAGAAAGUUGACAAAGCCAUUAGGACAAUCUGGAAAAUGGUGUAUACGUGCAUUUUAUGAUACAUUUGGAAUGAAAGAGCCACAAAUUCAAAUUGUUCCCUAAAGGCUACCUGUUUUGUUGGGAUAAACUUUUCCCUGUAAUACAAUAGACUUCUGCAGUCGGUAUUGGGAAAGAGGCAAGGGCACUAUCAAAGUGUACAAUAGGGUGGCAGCGGAAAAAUACUCAAGUCUAAUGUUUCCCUUUCAAUUUGAACCAAGAGAAAAAAAAAUAAACCCAAUUACAAUAGUAAUAUGGCAGCAAAUAAAUCAACCAAAUGAAUAAGACAAGACAAGAAUAAAACUAAUGACACGAGACACCAAAUUUACGUGAAAAAUCCUUCGAUGUGAAGAGUAAAAAAUCACGGGACCAAAACCUCCACUAUAAUCACCAAGAGUUACAAUAUUAUUCUCCGAAAUUGGUCACAAAACAAGUGUCAAACAACGAGCAACAAUACAUAAAUCACAACACCAAAAAUAGAGAAAUAAAGGAGCAAAAGCACGAAAAUGUAGCUACAGUUCAUGGAUGAAAAACAGGAGCUACAGGACAUCAAAUCAACUCCAUCAAUUUCUAAUCAAAUAUUAAGAUAAAAGAAAUAAGUUGUCCAAAAAUUAGCUCAAUCAAAUAAGAAACGAAGCAGAAAUCACAAUUUGAAGAUGUGUGUUGUGGCAGAAAAUUUAGUGCGAAAAUCUGCACUAUUUUGUCUCCAUGGCUGCUAAAACUCUUUUGUGAAUAGUGAAAUAAGACCUAAAAAGAUCUAUAUAUAUGUUCCACAAGUAAUGGACUUAUGGGCAAAAGUGGAUUGGUCCAAAUUAGAUUUUGUUUAUCCACAUAAAAAGAAAAAAAGACUCAUAACCCAAUAGUUGGGCCUUUCCUCGAACUCUGGACUUUGUUAGCUCUCCAGUUGCAAAACUUUCUUUAUUCAUCUUGAUUCGCGUAUAAAUUCUCAAAUCAUAUUAGAGCUCGUCAGAAAGUACUUGAUUUUGUAUAACUUUUGACGGUAAAUGAGCUGUCAAACUCUCUUAUUUGUAAUCACUUUGCAUCUUGUUUAAUGAUAUUUGUAAGUCAUUUUUAUAUGUUAGGAGAAUUUUUAACCAUUUUUACUUGUUUAAUGACCUUUUUUGUCUUCAGAAAUCUAGUUAUUACACUAAUGUAUUUUAAUUCCAUAUUUAUAUGUCAUAUAAAAUAAUACACAAUUUUUCACGUAACUUAUGUGAGUAUUAUCAAUAUGUCUAAGGAGGUCAACUAAAUAUUUCGUUAAAAUGUCAGUAAUUAUUCUGUGAGGUUAUCAUUAAGAACGAAUAUACUUUUCUUGGUACAGAUGAUUUACUUGAUCAAUUGCAAGAUACCAUAACACUAUUCAAGAUCGAUUUGAGGUUAGGGAUAUCUAAAUACUAAACAACGGCUUUUAGGACACGUUAUGAUUUUUACGAGUUCAUUGUUAUGUCUAGUGUUGUACAACCAUGACCUCCCUAAUUUGGAGAAAUAUUGAAUGAGAUUAUUAUGAGCAUCGGAUGGAUUUUUACUUUAAAAUAUUUAAAUUAUUUUUGGAAAUCUAUUAAAUAAUGACUUAAAUUCCUAUCCUACGAAAAUGAAAUUCUUUUACGUAAUAACAACAAAUAAAAGAUAAUCAAUGUAAAUAUAAUGAUUUUUAAUAAGAAAGACUCGCGAAUAAAGAUUAGUGUUAAAUAAUGUGAUAACACUUUUAAAUGAUAUGUCUAAAAAGAAAAAAAAUUCUAUAUCACUAAUAAACUCUUAAAAGAUAGUAUUGUCAAGUGAAAUACAAACAUGUUAAAUUGUAAUGGGUAAAAAUAGACCUAAAAUAAAAUUAUACAUAGACAACAAAUAAUUAAGAGGAAUAAGCUAGUUGCUUUAGUACUUAAUUUUAUCUUAACUAUUUCUUGUUUAUUCCUUAUAAAAAUAGUUCAUUGCUAUAUGAUAUUGAUAGGAUAUCAUUAUAUAUUGAUGAAGUAUCACAGAGGAGAGGACCAAUUCAUGAUAAUGACACCGAUAUCAUGCUAACGACAUACACGAACAUAUGAGCAGACCUAUAAUUACUUUAGGCCACCUGGAUAUUUCCUAUAAUUAAUGUGAAAACGGAAAAAGAAUAAAUAUACUACUUUCUAUGAUAUAUAUACUUUUUGUCAUACUUUAAUUACACAUAUACCUUUAGCAUUAAUAAAAUGAUACGUGUAUAUCUCUCACACUAACGAUAGGGGCAUAUGUGUACCCAAAGUAUGACGGGAGAUAUAUACAUAUCAUUUAUCAUAAUUCAAAAAUAUAUAUGUCCCUUUUCUAUUGUAAUAUUUUUAUCCUAAAUAAUUAACUCAAAUUCACUACCUGACUGAAUAAACCCCUCGAAUCUGAUUUCAAACCAACUUGACCCAAUCUCUAUUUUUUGUUCCAAACCCGAUGCUCCCUCUGUUUUUAUACUCAAACGUGAACUCCAAUCAAAUUGUAGUGAUUGAUCGUUGUUGCUUGCUAGUGUGUACUAGUUGGAAGGAGUGGAGAUUAGACCGAAGAUGGCUAGAGCUAGGGGUGCGGCAAUGAUUUAAUUUGCAGGUGGAGUGUUUUAGAUUCGACGAAGACGGUGGCUAUAUUAUGUUGAUUGGUGGUGAAUAGUAUUUUUUCAACGGAAUUUUGCUGAAAAUUAAAAUGUGAGGGGUUCAAUUUAUUUGGUGUUAUUUUUUGAUAUUAUGAGUUAACAAUUUUUUUUUAUUAUUGGGAAAUUGAUAGUAAUGGGUGUUAUUGUAUUGUUUGUAAAUAUCAUAAUAGGAGUGAUGUGUUUGUUAGGGAAGUAUCUCUUUGAUUUUAAUUGGGGCCAUGUCGGAUAGUGAAUUUAUUGAGUCGGAUAGUGAGUUUGGGUUAAUUAUUUAGGUAAAAAAAAAUUAAAAUAGAAAAAAGACAUAUACUUCUGAAUUAUAAUAAAUAGUAUGUAUAUGCCCUCCGUCAUACUUUGCAUACACAUAUGCCCUUAUUAUUAGUAUGAGGGGAAUAUACGUGUCAUUUCAUUAACGGUAGAGACAUGUGUAUUCAAAGUAUGAUGGAAGGUAUAUACGUAUCAUUCAUCAUAGUUCGGGAUAUAUUUAUCCCUUUUUCGAUUUGGAAAAGGGAAAUUUCAUGUAAUUAAUUUUGUUUUAUGUUUAUUUUUUUUCCCUCAAUUCAUCUUUACUCAUACAUUAUUGACUUACACUUUACUUAAGAAAUAAUAGAAUAAUUUUAUUAUAUCACUUUUUAAAUAUAAUAAAUAUAAUGCUUUAAAAAAUAUAUUGGAUAAUUAAAAUAUUUAAUAAUAAAAAUAAAAUAAAUAUAAAUGAUAAAUUCUCCACUAAUUUUUAAAUUAAAUAAAUAUUGUUAAAUAUUUUUUUAAAAAAUUAUUUUGAACAAGUGAAAGAGUAAUCGUUGGCUAAUAAAGUUGUUCUCAAAUAAACAAAAUAUACGGGGAGAAAUGUAAGGUAAAGCGGUUAUAAUAGACCUUUUAGUUUUCAAAUUUCAGGUAUAAAUAGUACCUUAAUGUACCUAACUCUCUGUUCCCUCUCCACUUUCAUAAUCGUAGCAAGCAUUUCUGGUGUUUCUCCAUUUGAACGUCAACCCCCUGCAAGAGGUCACUAUAACAGUUUCUAUUUUUCUCUUUGUGAUUCUGAAAAUUUUAAAUGAUUUUCUUGUGAAUAUGUUGUUAGUUUUCCUUUUGAUUUUUAAGUUUCAUAUAGCACGUUAAUAUGCACAAUUCAGUAUGAUUUUUCUUUCACCCUUACGCUGUUUAAUCGUCAUUCUAUCUAUUUAUUUAUAACUGUGGUGCUUUUUAUGUUUUGGCAGUGUAUAGAAAUGAACCUGAAUAAUAAUCAGUCAAAUGUUUUAAUAAGAAGGGGUAUUAUAUUGGUUCUGGACUAUAAUAUAUUUUUAAUCUUUAGUGGGUCUUGAAUAGAUUUCUUGAGUGUCUAACGGAAACUUUUCUGCCUCUAGAGAAUGGCAAGUUUUGCGUACAUUCCUCGAGUCACAUUUUGUGAGACUAUGCUAGGUAUGUUGUUGUUGUUGUUGAAUCUUGCAUAGAUUUCUUGAGUUGAGCGUCAAUGGAAAAUUAAACAACCUCUUUAUACCUUUUAAUUAGGGGUAAGGUCUGUGUACAUUCUUAUAUGUUGUUGGAUUUUGAAUAGAUUUCUUGAAUCGAGGGUCUAUUGGAAACAACCUUUCUACCUCUAAGGUAGGAGUAAGGUCUGCGUCCAUUCUAUCCUCCCCAAACCCCACUUUAUGGGACUACACUACACUGGGUAUGUUGUUGUUGUUGGGUGUUGAAUAGAUUAAUUAUUUGUACGUGUUAUAUGAAUUUUGUCAUACAAAUAUAGGGUUCUUACGUUAUGUCCAGUCCUAGUUAUCUAUCGUGAUAUCGUGGUUUAACUCGCCUUGAUCGUGUGUUUGUCCUCUUAAUAAUGAACACCAGCAAGUGUUGGAUCCUUUUCUGAAUUGAUGGUGUAUUUAUAUCUGUUUCUGCACAAAUGGCAUGUUCUAGGAUUUCAUUUUGAGCUAAAGAAAUUGUACGUGUCAUGUUGCACGCGAACAAGGGCGGAUUUACAUGGAGGGUUGGGGUUCACGUGAACCCAUGCUCCCCUCCUGAGACUGUAUAAUAACAAUAUUUAUCAUGUUAAAUACUUAAAUAAGUUUAUGUAAACAAGCUUAUGUGAGCUCAUUUGUGCUGCAGUCAAUGGAUCAACUCCCACUUGCAACUUUUUUAAGAAAAAUUCUUCUGUAUCAAUAUUGUUUCCUUUUCUUUCUAGGUUAUUUUAUUAUAUCUCUCUAAUGUACAUUUUUGAAUCGCUUUCUUUGAUAUUCUCUUCAUUUGGGUUCCAAAAAAUUCAAAUACGAUACAUAAUAAAUAUGUUCACUUCAUACCUGCACGGUAGAAAUUAAAGAAAAUUUUGCAAAAUUAUUAUCUUGUUUGUUUGAAGACAUUAAAUCUGAUUGUUUUAAUAAAAUCUAGUUUUAAUUUUUCUUCUGUUGCAAUGUAUCCAAUCGUGGAACAAACAAUUAUGAAUCAAGGAUGCUAAAAAAAUAAUGGCAUUGGUGUUUACACCAAGCUAAUAAAUACAUGAAAUGUGUCUUCAUAUACAUUUUUAUCACUAACAUUAAUUAAUUUCACAUCCUCUCCUUGAUCUACACCUUAAUUAGGGGUGGGCAUGGUAUGGUAUAUAUAUACCGAAUAUCAUACCGAAAUUGAAAUUCUUUAUACCGCGGUGUUGACACCUAAUUUUUGUCCUCCAUAACUAAGUUUAAUUCGGAGUUUCUUCGAUUUUCAAAUAAAAUUACAACAUUUAUUUUAUCCGAAUAAAGGAUUUUCAAAGUAUUUAUUUGGGUAAAUUGGUCAUUUAAAGUAGCGAUUAUAUAUUAUCGUGUUCAAUUAUACGAAAUUUUAUAAUUUUGUUACUUAAAAAAUUAUUUUUACAAAAUAUCGAAUUUUAGUCUAGGCUUAUCUUGAAAAUAAAUUCAAAUGAUUAAGAUCUUGAUUUAAAUAUAAUUUCUCUAAAAACUAAUUUAUUUGGAUAAAUAAUUAUUUAAUUUUAUUAAAUCAAGAAACUUGGGAUUCAAGGAAGUAUUAGUUCGUAUCGAAUUUUAAUCUAAUUUUGCCAAUCUAUUAAAUUUGACCAUAAUUGAAAUCAAAUUGGCCAUAAUUGCAAUGCGAUUGACCAAAUAACUUUCAAUUUGAUUAAAAUUUAAAUAGAAUGGGCUAAACUAGAAUUGAAAUAAAUUUUUUUGAAUAACCCCCAGUAAAACCCAAUCUAACCCAUCCAGCCCAACUCCAACAGCAUAGCCCAUCCUUUCCCUUCUUUUUUCACAAAAUAAUAUGUUAACAAUGGCCCAAACACUUAAAACCCCAACCCAGUCCAAGAAAUACUCCAACCCGGCCCAACUCAUUUUUCUUCUUUGUCCAUCAACACCAACAUCAACGAUGGACAACCUUCAACAUCGACAUCAGCAACCUCGAGAAUCCAAAUUCGAACAGCAACAAACCGCCAAAACCCGACCCAAUUGCAACCCAUGUCAACAAUAUCGGUGUCGACAACGACCAUAUUAGCGAAAACCCGACCCAAUUUUGAGCGCACGCGUCUUACGCGAUAGUAGGACGAGAAAAGAACCCAAGAAGCUUCCAGAAUAAGUCCAGGUGUCCUCUC
Molecule: long non-coding RNA, 85318 nt
Filed under: Capsicum annuum
Lineage: Eukaryota; Viridiplantae; Streptophyta; Magnoliopsida; Solanales; Solanaceae
Description: long non-coding RNA (CANN_LNC007800)
Source: RNAcentral